GUUAGUAGAUAGAUGUUACUGCAUCAUGAUAAAUAAGUUCAUGUUUUAUAAUAUUGCAUAUGAAAUGAUUGUUGUUUAUAUAUUGUUAAAUAGAAGAUAAAGUACAAGGAUAAAUCAUUGUAAAACAUCUUCUGAUCGCUUUUAUAUAUCUGGUUCAUGGGAAGAUAGUAUGGUGAUAAUUGUUAUCAUGCACAAUAAACAUAACGUUCUUGUUGUCGUUAGCAGAUGGGUUUGGUGGAGGAGGAUCUUUUGAAGGAGAAGAUGGGACUUCACCGGUUUCUUCAGUGAAUGGUCUGGCGGUUGUUUGGACCGCUAUUAAAAGAAGAAGACACACAGCAAUCGUCAUAGUUGUGGCAGAGAUCUUCAUGGUUUUGUCUUUGUUAUUGUCUGUUGUUACAGACUUACAGGACAGGACUUGUAUUUGUAUGUAGCGAGCGAUUGUUUUUGCUUUGGUGAGUUCAUGUGGGUAUAAAUACACGUGGGUGUUAAUUACACAUACAUUAAUUAGGCAAUUAGUUAAUUAAUUUCUUUUUAUCAAAAUCUCGUUCUUUAUAAAUAAUAUUAAUGUUAUUAUCUAAAAAUUGUAAAUAAAUUCAUUAACAAUCAAAGAUUCUUUUGUUUUAAUUGAAUAACACAGAACUUUUAAUGACUUUGUAAAACUCUGAAUCCAAUAACCCCAUAUUUAUGAAGAUUUUGAGUGAUUUUUUACAAAUCAAUAACUAAUUACACCAAACUUUAAAAGAGUUUAGUAAAAUCUGGAUGGAAUAACAACAGAUUCUACCAAACAUCCAAAGUCAUUAAAACUCCGUAUAACUCACAAACCAAAACACCCCCUUAAUAAAGUGCGACCAAAAAUAAUAAUUAUCAUUUUAAGAUAUUUUUCUAUAUACGUUUCGAACCAAAUCCAAUAUAUCCACUAAAUGCAAUAUAAAACAGUAACUUUUUUUCCUAUCAAAUUUGAGUACUUUAGAAGAAAAAAAUUACAUAUCUUUAUCAAUUACUUAUUUGCGUAUCAAAUUCAAUUUUAGCAUUUAUAAUUACUUUUAACUUUCCUACUUUCCUCAAUAGACAGUAAAUAUCACACAGUAACCUUUAUUGUUUUUAGUUAUUACUUCCUCGGCCUAGCACAUCCACUGAACAAGGAGAAACGUCUUUCUCGACUUCUUCGUCGUGAUCGCACAGGAGUCCCUUUGAUCUAUAAUCAAGUAACCAAAAACGUCAAAUAAGUAAAUAAAUUGGUUUUUAUUUUCAUUUCACCAUUAAAGAAACAUUUCUUCAAGCAACUCACUUUGCUUCUUCUUGGAGACUUUUGUGUGUUCCAACAGAAAAGCAGACUGCAAACUCCUCUCCCUGUUUCUGAUUCAUAUCCUCUACACAAACCAAAACAAGUCAAUUGUUUGUCAUGACGACCUUUCUUAAUCCGUUUUUUUUUAGCUUUACUGAAUCAAGAUUAUUACUUACAAAUUGUCUUUGUUGUUUGUGAAGUUGCUGUUGUGUAGUAAGCUCGGAGAAACAGGACAAUGCUCCAUUCUUUUGCCAGCGUGAUUCUCUUGAAACUCACCCAUUUCACAAAUCUUUAAAACUUUAACUCCAUUGGUGUCUUCUUGAGGUAGAACUUGAUUCCUCUCGGGUUUUAACCGGCCUUGGGAACCAGGAGUCUUCUGUAACCACUCAGUUUCUGAUCUCUGUUCUUGGAUGAUUGCUUCAAUCCUCUUCAUUGGUAUCUCAUGCCCACUUUCAGUAUCUGAACUAGUUGUAACUGCUAUUUGUCUGGUCUGCUUGGUGUUGAGUAACUCAGUUUCAGACAAGAGGAUUAUCCUGACCUCUACGUUUCGCCGCAAUACCGUUUCAAUUGAGUUUGUGACACUACUUAAGAACCUUUCAGCUCUCGCUUUGAUCUCUCUUUCUCCAAAUGCAAUAUAAGCAACUAGAAUACCUGCAACCAAGAUUCUAUUAGUAUGCAAUUGCUUGAGUUUUUUUUCCUUCAGAUGUAAAGUGAUUAAGAGGAGUUUUAGGCUUUACCUUCAACUUCACUGAUUGAUAAAAGCUUCCCAUGAGCAAAGAGAAGCUGCUUCAAUGUCUUUGAAUGACAUCUGUCUACACAUUUUAUCCAGAUAUCGUUUAGUUUCUCUGCAUUUCUGCACGUAAGUGUCAUGGUACUUGCCGUUGUAUCAUCAUGCGAGGCAGUGUCACUCUCUAAAACUUCGCUAGACGAGGAAGACAAUUUCACUUCAUAAACAAGAUUUCCGCUUUUUCUCAUGGAAGUUGGGGAUGCUGAAUUUUUACAUUGAAGGCCUGAUCUCGGCUUGUAAGCAAUAACUUCUCUUGAAAUGCUUGGUGGGUGAUCUUCAGUUGCUCUAGAGCUUAGCCUUCUACUGCUACCGGUGUGUGUGGUUCCAGGAGAAGGCAUCGAACCAAGCUGCAACAAGGUAGCUAUGAACCAUGUUGAACGGUCAGUAGAAACUCUCAGCUGAUUCUCAGCCUCAGAGAGAAGUUUCAAAGCAUGUUUUAGUCUCUCCAUAUCAGCUUCAGUCACUACAAAAAAAAAAACGAAUAAGAUUGGCCAAAUACAAAGCACUCAAAAAAAGUAGCAGAGCUGAAGGCAUCGAUAAGCCAAAUUUUUUAGAAAAUCAUUCUAGUUCUGGAGAAAACGUAUGAUCAUUAUGUCUAGCUGUGGAUUCCCAAUACUUAUUAGUUUAAUUUAAGCAUAUCAGAACUAUCGACUUUGACGUUUCAGAAACUCACAGUUCCGUCCAUCAAGGAAGGCUUCACUGUAUUUUUCGUCCAAGGCCUUGUAUGCUCCAGCAAUGAUAUCCAUAAUAAGACUGGCCAGUUGAGACAUCAUGGGUAUUGGGUCAGCUCCUGAGUCCAGUAACUCUCUAGCUUUCUUAACUGUCUCUGCCGUGUCUGAUGACAAUGCUAAUUCCAAAAGUUCAAGUAAAUUGUCAUCUGAAACAACACCCACCUGCUCAAACAGCAGCAGUCACAAUCAAAUCACUCACUGGUCUAAUUUUACCUAAUGCAAAGAAAAGGAAACAUAGAGAAAACACCAUAACUUACAAGCUCAUUUACAAGAUCAACGGUAAUUCGUUUUCCCAUCAAGCUCAACUGAUCUAACAUAGUUUCAGCAUCUCGAAGCGAGCCAUCAGCAUUCAAAGCAAUCAGGUCCAACGCCUGCAAUUCCACAUCUAGAUUUUCAUCUGAAGCAAUUUUCCUUAGCCUCACAACAAUGUCACCAUCUCUGACUUUGUUGAAGAGGUAAUUCUGGCACCUUGACUGAAUGGUCCGAGGAACAUUGUCAAGGUCGGUCGUUAUACAUAUGAAGACAACUUUCUGCAGAGGGUUCUCAAGAAAUUUGAGCAAAGAUAGCCACGUCUUAGAUGGUAGUAAAUGACACUCAUCUACCACAAAAACCUUGAAUCUUGGGGAACUCUGUGGAGCUAAUGCCAGCAGUUUUUUCAAAAGAUAACUAACUUUCUCAGCUCCAUUCUUCUUACCAGCAUCAAGUUCCAAUAAAUCACUACUUUUCCCCAACAUGUAAUCACUGCAUUCUUUGCAAUACCCACAAGGUUUCAUGUCUUGAGUCGCCAGAUCACAAUUCAGGGCGGCCGAAAGAAUUCUCGCAGUAGAUGUCUUCCCAGUUCCUCUAGGACCUUGGAAAAGAUAAACAUGAGCAAUCCUACCCUUUUUCACAGCGUUCAUUAGAGAUUGAACAACUAAACCCUGUCCAAUCAAUUCAUCAAAGAACAUAGGCUUGUACUUUUGGCUCAAGCUCUGGAUACUUUCCGGUGUACUUCCAUCUCCUCCUCCAUCCAGACUCCGACAACUAGUAGACGAUCUCCUCCCAUCUAAUCUACUUUGAGCCUCUAAAUCAAGCUCUCCGAAAUCAGUAGAAAGACCAUCAUCACUAUACCCAAUUCCAAUAGAUGACCCUCCUCUACUACCACCACCAUAUUUGAGCAAAGGCAAAACACCCUUUGCACUUCUUAAAGCAAGUUUCUGUUUAUUAUAUCUCCCAGAGGUAUGUCUAUGUCUACGAUACACCGGCUGACUCCCGCAUAAAAUACUACUCCCGGUCUUUCUAAGAGUAUCCGAAAACGAAGGUGAGCAACAACUCCUACACCCACCUCUAUGUUUCAGAUUCCUCUUGGUCCAAUAAAAAGGAAUCCCACAACCUUGUCUCCCUGUAAAAUCAAAGUUAUCAUCAUCCAAGUCAUCAUCACCGUCCUCCCAAGAUCCAACUGUGCUAGGAUUACGAACAGCAUACAUGUUGUAUGAGCUAGUCGACAAUGCAGGUGUACUGUUACACGUAUGAGAAGAAUCCUCUCUCUUACUAGUAGCCUUCAUGAACUUCGAAGAGGAGUGUGACCAGUUAUUGUGCUUAAGCUUCGAAAGCAAAGGAGAUGACACUUUAGUGAUCUUGCGAGGAUUCUCAGAAUUGCUAAAAUCCUCUGUUUCAUCAGACAUCUCAACAGAUUCAUCUCUCACCACACUUAAACCUGACGCUGCGUGGAGAUUACUUGGAAAUUUCCUAGCUUUGGCAGAGUUUCUUACGCCAAAGAUUGAUUCUUUCGACUGAUGAUGAUAUCGAGACAUCAAAUCCAAUUUCUUAGUUUUCUUCUUGCUAACACCAUUCUUUCUGAUCUUUGCAAAACCAGGUGACACAAGAUUCGAGUCUCUGCAUCUAAAAACCAUGGAAGCAGAUCGAGUAUCCCCAAGAUACGAAUCUCCACCGUUCCUAGCAUCACUCACAUCAUCAUCAUCAUCACCAUUGACACUAGCUUGGAUCCACGAAGUGCCAUCUUCACCUCCACUGUAUUUAGAAAAGCCACUCUUGUCGCUAGAAGUCCUCUGAGCCUUCCAAUUAUACAAAAACACCUUCUUCUCCUUCUCUUUCCCGUUCCCAACACCUCGACUACUGGGAAACUGAGAAUCCAACUGAGCCUCGACGGUAUUGGUCUCCAGCGGAGGCUCAGGCACAGCGAGGGAUCUAGAGGAAGUAAGAGGAGAUUUCCAAGAGGAAGUGGUACCGGGAUCGCGUAAACCCUUGGCAACUUUCCUGACUUGAGUAAGCUCCUUCUUCAGAUGCAAUUUGCUCGGAUCCGAAAUCUUCAGACCCGACAUUUUCUUUUUUCUUUUUAGAAGACAACAAACAAAGAAUCACUCUUUCGACUACUUCGGUCCUCUCUUUUGUCUUCUCAAGUAUUAUGCUUCAGACACAUUUCAAUCGAAAUUCCCCAAAACGACGACAAAAAUUGAACUUUUCUCACUCGGUUUUUUUAUAGCAAAAGUUAAGCCGGGAAACUUAAACCUGAAUUUAGAAAGAAGACGAAGAAUCUUCUAUUUUCAGAAACUAAAGACUAUGAGAGAGCGAAGGCGACAAUGAGAGUAAAGAGAAGAGGUGAAGAAGAAAAGGGAUUUGUUGAGAAAUUCAAAAAUAUCACAGGCCCUGUUUUUUCUCCCUAUAUAUUUUUUUAAUUUUAUUUUACAAAAAAAAAAAGAAGAAGAAAAGAAUUAAAAAUAUUUUAGAAAAAGACACGAAAAGAAAUGUGAAAAGGUGAAAAAUUGGGUCGGAAGGGAGCGGUGACGCUCGGGAUUCUCCUUUUUAUUUAUUCUGCUCUCUCUCUCUCUUGCGGUGUGUCAGAUCUAAAAACCCAGUGGCCAGUGCGGCAGUGCUCACUCUUCUCACGCCUCUUCACUGUCUUUUAAUUAAGAGUUUAUAUUGUACUACUACCCAAUUUUUGAGUCGGAAGAUAAAUUAUUAAUAACAGAUGCAAAUUACAACAGAAAAACCAACUUUGGAAAUUAAUGAAACUCUAAAGUGUAUUUUUCUUUGACAAAAGUGUAUUUGCCUUUGCGUUAUUACAUCUCGCCGAUCUCGUUACAAAAAUGACUUAAUUUUGGAUAUAAGUUUUAAAAUACUUUGGAUUUCUUAAAUAGCCUUUAAGUUGUUAUUUAAUUUUUGUUUCUUUUUAAUAAUUAUAAUAAAGCUAUGUUUUUAGCGGUCAUUUAUAAUUGUUCAUGCAACGUGGGCUUUUCUGAUCAACAAAUAAUUGUAUUAAAACUAUGUAUUAUUAUUAUUAUUAUUAUACUAGGGGUAUGUUUUACAUGUUCUGACAAUUUACAUGUCUAACAAUCUGAGACCAAAAUACUAAUUUCUGAAUAAUGUAUGUUGUUGUGGUCAUUCUACGAAACGUAUAAAGAUUAUUUCAGGCUUUGCCUCGUAAGAAAAAAAAACCCAACCCACAUAUAUCUAUCUAUUUAAAAUCUUUUUUAGUUGCAUUCAUAAGUCAUAACUCGUGACAAAUGUCUUUGACUCUUUUAGAUCUCACUUUCUUAGCUACUUUUAUUGCUUGGUUCGUUCCUUUGAAGUCCAACAAAAACGAAUUCAACAUCACAUGCCUAUUUACUGCCAUUGUUUUUUUUUUUUUUUUUUUUUCUCUCACACUCUUAACAAAUCUUAGCUUCCAUUGAUAAUAAUGCUCAGAUCGGGUUGACAUAUACAUACAAAUAUGUAUUUUAAAUGCAUAUGAACAAGAGCUCCUCAGGGGGUCCUUAUAGUUUGUGUCUUUUGUGUUCUUUUGAUUGAAUAAUGCAUUACAAAUCAUUCAUAUAUGCGAAAACAAACUAACGACGAAAUGCACAUGCCACUAUUUUGUACGUUUUCCAACUUCUUCAAUGUGGCCCUCUCAAGGUUAAAUUUAUCAGUCUUCUAAAAUAAAAUAGUAAACGUUGUCUUGUCUUCAUGUUAUAUUUUUGGAUAACAUAACAUGUAGAUUGUAAUAGACAACCUUAUAUUAUACCCAAGGAGGAAUAUAGACAACCCCCCACUGAUUUAAAUCUGGUCGGGGUUGAGAGAUCCUUUAGAUGUCCUUUUUUUUUUUUUGGUAAUUAGAAGGUCCUAAAGUUCGUAAUUUUACAAUCAUAACCAUGGUGAUAUAGCUAGAGAUAAUAUGGUACAAUGUACCAAAUUCAAUCAUUAAUAUUUGUUCUAAUCAUUAACCAAUAAAGGCAAUAACCAAUUGAUUAAAGGCUUAAUACUGAUAUAUUUAAUGGGCCUAAACGAGCCUAAGGUAUUACAUAGUAUUGGGCCAAAUGUCCCAAUAAUGGGCCUUAAUCGAUCUUAUCAAGUUUAAAAGUCCAACUCAAUUUACUUAUUACCAAGCAGAGAUAAUACAGUAAUUUUUAACUUGAAAUUUAAAUUUUUUACAUUUUCGCCUAAAAACGAAACAGCUACGAGCGAGAGAGAGAGAGAGAGAGAGAGAGAGAGAGAGAGAGAGAGAGAGAGAGAGAGAGAGAACGUGAAGCUAUAUAUAUGUCUCGAGAACUCACUGUAUCUUUUGCCGCCAUAGCUUUACAAGCUCUAACCUUUCCUCAGCUAAACCAAAUCCAUGCUCAGCUCAUCGUCUUCAAUUUCCUCAGUCGUAAAAGCUUCUGGGCUUCGCGUCUCAUUAGCUGCUGCACGCGUCUCCGUGCGCCGCCUUAUUACACGCGGCUCGUUUUCGAUUCGGUGGCAUUUCCCAAUGUCUUCGUCGUCACUUCCAUGUAUAAAUACCUUUCGCGGAUGGAUAUGGCCGAUGAUGCUCUUCGUCUCUACGAACAAAGAUCGCGUUGCGGGAUUUUGCCUGACGCUUGGUCUUUCCCCGUUGUGAUCAAAUCGGCUGGGGAAUUCGGGGUUUUGUUUCAGGCUAUUGUAGAGAAAUUGGGAUUUUUUAAGGACCCUUAUGUGAGGAAUGUGAUAAUGGAUAUGUAUGUGAAGCACGAGUCAGUGCAGAGUGCACGCAAAGUGUUCGAUCAAAUUACUCACCGAGUGGGUUCUGAUUGGAAUGUGAUGAUCUCUGGGUAUUGGAAAUGGGGAAAUAAGGAGGAAGCUUGUAAAUUGUUUGAUAUGAUGCCGGAGAAUGAUACUGAUGUGGUUUCUUGGACAGUGAUGAUUACUGGUUUUGCAAAGCUUAAGGAUUUGGAAAAUGCAAGGAAGUAUUUUGAUCUGAUGCCUGAGAAGAGCGUUGUUUCUUGGAAUGCUAUGCUUUCAGGUUAUGCCCAAAAUGGGUUUACAGAGGAAACUAUUAGAUUGUUUAAUGAUAUGUUGCGAUUUGGAGUUAAGCCCAAUGAGACCACAUGGGUUAUCGUUAUUUCUGCAUGUUCUCUCCGUGCUGAUCCUUCCCUUGCUCAUUCACUUGUUAAACUGAUUCAUGAGCAGAGAGUUCGGUUGAAUUGCUAUGUGAAGACGGCAUUGCUUGAUAUGCAUGCUAAGUGUAGAGAUAUUCUAUCUGCUAGGAGAAUUUUCAACGAGCUAGGUACGCAGAAGAAUCUUGUCACUUGGAAUGCUAUGAUAUCUGGAUAUACUAGAAUCGGUGAUUUGACUUCAGCUAGGCAGCUUUUUGAUAUAAUGCCUGAGCGAAAUAUUGUUUCUUGGAACUCGAUGAUUGCUGGGUAUGCUCACAACGGACAACCUGCACUAGCCAUUGAGUUUUUCGAAGAGAUGAUUGACUAUGGAGAUUCCAAACCGGAUGAAGUAACAAUGAUUAGUGUUCUCUCGGCUUGUGGACACAUGGGUGAUCUAGAAUUGGGUAAUUGCAUUGUAGAUUACAUUAGUAAGAACCAAAUCAAGCUGAACGUUUCAGGAUACAGGUCUUUGAUCUUCAUGUAUGCUAGGUGUGGAAACCUGUGGGAAGCAAAACGGGUGUUUGACGAAACAAAGGAAAGAGAUGUUGUAUCUUAUAACACGUUAUUAUCAGCGUUUGCAGCUAACGGGGACGGGGUUGAAACGCUGCGUUUAUUCUCAAAAAUGAAAGGAGAAGGCAUUGAGCCGGACCAUACGACUUACACUAGUGUCUUGACGGCUUGCAACCGUGCAGGAUUACUCCAAGAAGGCCAGAAAAUAUUUGAAUCAAUAACAAAUCCAUCAAUAAAUCAUUAUGCUUGUAUGGAUGAUUUGUUGGGCUGAGUUUGCAAGCAGAGAGAUUAAUUGAGAAAAUGCCAAUGGACGCACGCUCUUUAAUACCAGCCUAAACUCGGUGAGUUUUUUAUUCCUUGAGUCUGAUUCAAUAUAGAAGUUUAAACCUUUUUCCUUAAAGCAUAUACCAGAGUCUUAAACCCAAGCAAAUGAUAGAAACCAAAAUUCAAACUAAUUUGCUAAAAACCUUAAAAGUGAUUUGUAAAAGUAUUACCAAUAGGUUUCUUUAUUACCAAGAAAUAACACAACGUUUUCAUGGUUAAUGCGUCAAGAAUGAAUAUGUAGUUACGUUGUUUUUUCCAAAUAAAUAAUGAUAUCGAAAGGUCACACGCAUAUCCCUUACAAGUUUCAAAAGAUUAAUUAUGAUUAUGUAGGUUUAUACAAUCUAUAGUCGGUGGAAAUUUUGUCAUUCCACAAAAAAUAAUCUUAUUAUUUAUUGGUAAAAAUGGGAGUGGUUGGAAACGCUUUAGGACCUACCUCGUGUUAGUAUGGAAAUAAGUCAUCCAUUAAAAGUUGCAAUGGUUCUUGGCUUCUUGCUAUGGAACUUCCUGGUAAAAUGCCAAAGUUAGUCGCAUUCUUUAGUUUUACGAGUAUUCUAUGUGACAUGUCUCUAACAUGUUUUGUCAACUAAAUCCGUGUGGGGUUCACUUAUUCAUUGGUUUUUGCUUCGAAGUUUCCUCCUGAAAUGCCUAAGCUCAACAGUUUCUUUUGUUUUAAGAAUGUAUAUAACCUAAAUUUUGGAUAAUGAGGCCACAAGCACAAUAGAAAACCAACAUCUGAAAAAUCUUUGUCUUGAUCACUGAGUUUUUGCCUAAAUUUCUUUUUCUAUGGAUCCGAGACUUCAACAAGCUGCUGAAUCUGGAAGCAUCAAUGAGUUGUAUGCUCUUAUUGAUGAAAAUCCAUACAUACUUGAUCACUUUGAUGCGGUGCCAUUUGUUAACACUCCCCUACAUGUAGCUGCAGCGGCUGGGAAGAAACAAUUUGCCAUCGAGAUGCUGAAUCUUAAACCCUCUUUUGCCAGAAAGCUGAACACACGCGGCUACAGUCCAUUGCAUGUCGCUGUGGAUAAUGAGCAAAGAGGCUUUGUCUCCAGGAUGCUUUGGCUUGAUCACACCCUUGCCCGUGUUAAAGGGAGAAAUGGCAUCACACCAUUUCUUUCCCUAGUGUUAAGAGGAAACGCCGGUCUUGUGGCAGAGUGCCUCCUAACUUCCCCUGAAUGUAUCGAAGAUGUGAAUGUCAAUGGCCAAAAUGCACUGCAUCUAGCUGUGAUAAAUGACAGAUUUGAAGUUCUCCAAGUCCUUACGGGAUGGAUCCAGAGAAUGAGCCAAAAAAAUGCUGACUCGAUUGAGAUUCAUGUUCUGAAUAAAAGGGAUUUCGGCUACAACACAGCCUUGCACUUGGCAGCAUAUAAGAGUGAUCAUCAGGCAUGCUUUACUUUCUUUCAAUUCUAUUUUGUAUAUCAGAUAUAAAAACUCUUCUAAGUGACAAUGAGUCGUGUGAAAUAUGAUUAUUCUAAACUAAUAAUCUUUUCAAUAUGAGAUUCCUAAUAGAAUGUACUAUUUUGUGUAGGCAGUUAGACUCUUACUAGAAUGUCGAUUGGUGCAGCGGAACAAAGUCAAUGGUGACGGUUUAACAUUCCUUGAUAUCUUACGAAAUCAGGAACAGAGCUGCAGGGGAAGAGUUAAGAAGCCAGGGACAGCGAGCUGCUGGUGGAGAGUUAAGAAGCCAGGGACAGGGAACCGUGGGUGUGGAAUUGGAUUUGGAACAAGUUGUUCUAAAAACCGGGUGUAAAGAGGCGGCUUCCGUGCGAAAAUCCAAAGCAAGGUCUGAAUUUUUGAAAUCACCAAUCACUUUUGUGACAUACUGCUCCACGAGCAUGAGACGCCUAAGGUCUAACACUUCUGAUGAAUCUCGGGGAGUGUUUCUGAUUGUAUGUGCUUUGAUAAUAACAGCUACUUAUCAGACUGCACUCCAACCUCCCGGAGGUGUACACCAAUCUGAGGAUGCGAAUGCGGGUUCCGUGGUGAUGAAACAUUCAUUCUUUAUCCUUCUUUGGGUUUCCAACACCGUAGGUUUCUGCUGCGCUUUAUUCUACACCUUUUGUCUCAUACCACUUGGUAGUAUGUUUGCAACGUGGUUCUUUUGGACAGGGACAUCUCUGUGCAUUUCUUAUGCACUAGCAAUGGCAGUAAUCUCACCACAUCCUCUAGUGUUUCUCUCAGCGACCAUUGCCUUCUUCCUGCUUUUUGCUCUCUUUCUCUUGUUGGAUGUUUUAGUAACUCGUUGGCGAAACCAUGAGACGGUGACACCUAAACCCCGAUUGAGCUGGUUUUGGAAGGUUUGAUACUACACUAAUAUAACAGAAGAGAGGGCUUUGAGAAUGCAAAUGAUGUAACCCUUCAACAUAUGACACAUCUCGCUUAUGAGUUGUAACUUGCAAUGUACUGUGCCAAGUAGUAAUAGGCUUAUAUAUAAAAAAUCUUUGUAUUGUAAUGAGCUUCAUUACUCAUUAGGCUCUCGAAAUUAAUAAAUGAGCUUGAUACCAAGAAGAAGACACUAGCUGGCAUUGAGAGACUUAAAGCUAUCUCAAUCCCAGAAAGGCUAAGCAAGAAAUAUUUUUUGAUUCGUCUUCUCACUAAAUACUUGUUCUGUCUUUUAGUUCAACUAUGAGUGUCCUCUUUUACAGUCUCUAUAUGUUACUGUAAUCCUUCAAGGUUUGAUCUUCUUGUUACUGCAACUCGGGAAUAUGUACUGUUUGAUGUGCUCAGCUUUUCAGGUGUGAUCUUCACACGUUUUGCAUGGAAACAUUUCUCACAACCAUUGCAGCGCAUAUCUGAUUAUUGUGCUGAUUCAUCAAAGCGUUUUAUUUGGUGAGUAUCGGAGCUGAUAAAAUACUUGAAUUCGAUCCAAAAGUUGCUGAGUUAAAGAAAUCAAUUAAACCAUUAUAUUAUACAGUCAAGUAGUCAGUCAACCUUUGGAGAUCCAAUAAACAAUGCAAUAAGAUUAUAAAAUUAAAAUUGUAUGAAUCUCUAGAAUACAAAACUAAACUUGGGGAAGCAUAUAAAGCAGUCAAAUCAGAUUAUAAUAUGUAAAGCUUGACACAACAAAUGUGAGAGACUGAGAGAUUGAAAGCUUGAUAUAAAAGCCUAACAAAGAGUAAAAACUACUUUGGUUGAUUCUUGAUGAGCAAAAGAAGAAGAAACCCUAGUUGGAAAAGAGAUCGCUUUGGUCAGUACGGCGGAGGAGCUUUGGCGUUGGUGGCCCAUAUAACAUCAGAGCCACCCAAGUGGCCACUGUACAUCGACUCUCCUCCACUUCCCGCCGUCACGUGUCCAGAGACCGGCGGUGAUUGGCCCUCCCCUUCCCCCGAGACCGAGAUUUUUUGCUCUUCCUCCGCCGCAGGUAUCCGGUGAUAGGAGGGGUUACUGAAACUAGCGGCGACGACGUAGACAGCUCCAGAGGAAACGAGGGGACCAGCAACAAAUCCACCAAUGAUCUGCCCCUGAGGUCCGGCGAGAGAUACGGUGAAGAAAUUAGAGACAGGAGGUGACAAGGAGGAAUGAGGCGGCGGAGGAAAGUAAGUGGCGGAAACGGAGAGGAGAUCAAACUUCCCGUGGAAAGUAAUGGUUGAGCCAGGAGCUGCCGGAGAAGGCUGACGUAGAGUGACGUUAGCGACGGAGCCUGAGGCACUGAGGACGCAAAAGCCGAUGCCUUUACGGCGGCAGAAACGGUCUAUGGCUUCAACGACGUCGACUCCAGAGGGUACUUGGAGGAUGUAAGGGCUCAUAGGAGGCUCGGAGGACACAUGGGUGACAAAGAUUGGUGCUUUUGGUUUGUUUUUCGAACCAGGAGGUCUGCCACGUGGACGCCGGGCCAUUUCCAUGGCGGAGGAGGACGGUGAGAGGUGCAAGUGUUGUUUUUGAGGAAGCUUCGACAACAUUUUUGUUUUGUCUUUUGGAGUUUUGUGUUAAAUGAUAAAAUAAAAAAAGAAAGAAGAGUGCAGAGAGACUGGUUUGGUGUGGGUCUGUGGGAUGUAUAAAGACGACUAGUCUAAUCUUUUUGGGAAAUGGUAUGGCCAAAAAAGUAUUGCUUCUAUUAAUAUAAAAAGAGGAGAAUGAGAGGAUGGGGAAGAAGCAAAGAUGAGAGCUUUGAAAGCAACUAACUUUAGGACCCACCUCGUGUCUCCUUACUUUAGAUUUGUGUAGUAAACGUCUUCUUUCCCUCUACUUCUGUUUGAUCUUUAAAGAGUCUUGUUAUUAUAUGCAAUUUUACGUUUCUGUCACUCUUUAUGGAUCCAAGGCUUCAACAGGCUGCUGAAUCUGGUAGCAUCGGUGACGUUUUAUGAUGCUUUGAUUGAUGAGAAUCUGUGGUGUCAGAGUGCCUCAUAGCUUGCCUUGAAUGUUUCCAAGAUGCGAGUGUUAAUGGCCAGAAUGUUCUGUAUUUUGGCUGUGAUGAAUGAUAGAUAAUGAGCUAAAGAGAUGUCUUCUCCACUUGGUAUGCUUUACUAGUUUCUCUCUGUCUUGUAUCUGCUUAGACUAAAGAGAAUCUCCUCUCUGUGAAAAUUUUCGUAAGGCAAUGCGCGGAGCCAUCAGACAGUAGUGGCACCUGUUCCCCGAUUAAGCUGGUUUUGGUAGGUUUUGAUACAACAGUUUAGACAUUAGAGGACUUUGAGGAUGCGAAGAUGAAAACCUUCAACAUAAGCAGUGUCCCUUGUGAGCCUUUGUAAUUAGAAUAUUCUCAUGAAUGACUUUUGGAGCCAAAAUUGAGAAACGUCCAAUAAAAUAAAUUUCAUACUUGGAGGAAAAAUCCAGAUGCCAGAGUCCCACUUGUUCUUAAAUUGUUUCUUCUUCCACAUGUACAUGUGGUUUCUUGGUCUUCAACUCUUUCUUUAUUGUUUCUUGCAUGGGUUCGUUGGUCCUUGGUUCUUGGUAAAGGCUAUUUCUGCCAUUAUUGUCCUCUCGUUCAACUGUAUUCGAUCUUUGCUGAAUUUAGAUCACAAAACACUUUUCUUCUGCAAAAGGCUCCCUAUCUCUCUCUCUCUUUAUGGAUCCAAGACUACUACAUGCUGCUGAAACAGGAAGCAUCAACAACUUUUAUGAUCUUAUUGAUGAGAAUCCUUACAUUCUUGAUAACAUUAAUGACGUGCCAUUUGUCAACACUCCGCUCCACGUAGCUGCAGCUUCUGGGAACAUACCAUUCGCCAUGGAAAUUCUGAAUCUUAAGCCAUCGUUUGCCAGAAAGCUCAAUACAAAAGGGUAUAGUCCAUUACAUCUUGCUGUGGAAAAAGAUCAUAGAGAGUUCAUAACAUGGCUGCUCUGGCUUGAUCCCGGACUUGCUCGAGUUAAAGGGAGAGAAGGAAUCACACCUUUUCAUCUCCUUGUGGUAAAAGGAGAAGUAAAUCUUGUGGUAGACUGUCUCAUGUCCUGCCCUGAAUGUAUCCAAGAUGUGACUGUGAAUGGUCAUAACGCUCUUCACCUUGCUGUGCUUAAUGAUAGAUUUGAAGUUCUACAUAUUCUUACAGGUUGGAUCCAAAGAAUGAGUCAAAGAGAUUCUGCAGUCACUGAAUCUGAUAUCUUGAAUAAAAAAGAUUUAUCUCGCAACACGCCUUUGCAUCUUGCAGCAUAUAAGGAAGAUCAUCAGGCAUGGUUUCCUAAAGCUUCAAAUUUUCUCUACUCCUUUAAGAUUUUUCUCAAUUAUCCAUUUUGUUUCAUAAUUGGACUGACUGUAGAAUAUAUGUAUGCAGGCGGUAAAACUGUUACUAGAACGUCAGCUGGUGAAACCGAACGAAGUAAAUGGUGAUGGUUUAACAUUACUUGAUAUCUUUAGAAACCAAGAACAGAGUAUAGACUUGGAUAUGGAACAAGUUGUUGUAAAAACUGGGUGCAAAGGGGCUGCUUCUCUUCCAAAACUCGAGAAACCGUCCGAUCACUUUAAGUCACCAGUCACUUUCUGGGCUCAUUUCUCCAUUGGCCUCAGACGCCUAAGGUCCGACACAUCAGAAGAAGGCCGUGCAGUCUUCUUGAUUAUAUGUACUUUGAUAAUCACAUCCACUUAUCAAACCGCACUUCAGCCUCCGGGAGGUGUACACCAAUCCGAGGAUGGAGGUACUGCGGUGAUGAAGCAGACAUUCUUCAUCGUCCUAUGGGUUUCCAACACUAUAGGCUUCUGUUGCGCCCUACUCUACACGUUUUGUCUCCUGCCAAUCGGUAGCUUGUUUACAACAUGGUUCCUUUGGAUUGGAUCUUCUCUGGGAGUUUCUUAUGCGCUUGCUAUGGCUGUAAUCUCACCAAAUCCUCUAAUGUUUCUCUGUGCCGCAUUCUCCUUGUACCUGCUCUUUCCCAUGUAUCUCUUGAUGGAAAUUUUUAUAUCCCUGAGGCUGAGCCAUCUUAAGGCUGCAGUAACUCAAAUGUUUAUGACAAAAAUAAAAUAGAAAGGAUUAUUGAGAGUCCAAAAGAUAUCAAAUAUAUUGUCAUUGUGAUUGAAUGUUAUGUUCUACGAGGUAAUCGGCUUAAUGAGUUUAGGCUUUAGAAGCUAAAGCUGUAAAAGUGUACAGCAAGUAACCAGAAAGAAGAACCUCCUUGACAUAGACUAGAGAGUGCUUCAAGACAGACUUUUCUCAGAAACAUAAGACAAAUUAGUCAUAACAUUUAAACAUUAACAGCAAAAAAAAAAAAAAAAAAAGAGAAAGAGACAUUACUAACUGUAAGCUGUCUCAAUCCCAUUAAAACUACGCAAUCAGAAGCCUUUUGUUUCUUCUUCUUCCCACAACUAAACUCUUGUUCUGUCUUUUCUUCAACUGUGAAAACGUUCACCUCUUUCACAGUAUCUAAUGUUAUUAUCACCUUCAAGCUUUCAUUUUCUUGCUGGUACUGCAACUCGGGCAUUUGUAAUGUUUGAUGUUCUCAGCCUUUGCUGGUGUGAUCUUCACGCAUUUUCCAUGGAACCAUUUCUCACAAGCAUCGCAACAUAUCCAGAACUCAUCUCCUCCAUAGUUGUCUCCACACGCACCACAAACCGCACCUUGUUCGUCAUCUUCCUCCUCAUCUCCACUCUCAUCUUCUUCUCUUGGUGGUGGGGACAUCUUUGAAGCCUUAGUGUGAGAUUCCGAAUGACGAGGCUGCAUGAGAAAACAACAGAGUAAAUAAAGAUAAGAUCCAGCAGAGAUAGCUAGACAGUGAGAGGAAAAAGAAAAAGAGUAAACAGAAGCUUCUACCUUGCCACCGCUAGAUUUGCUUUUGCUACUGUUGUGGUUAGCAGAUUGAUCCUUAGAUUGCUUUGCAUUGCCAGUCACAACCUCAAAAAUGGUUGGUAGAUCAUUUAUCAUCUGGAAGAGCCUCUUCCUGAGAAAAUUUAACGAGCUCAGAGGCAAGAUAACUAAAUGAUUCGACUCUACAAUGUCAGAGAAUACAAACACUGUUCAACGAAUUUGAAUUCAAGAGAAAAAUAAGAGGCUCACAUGAUCACUGAAUCGAAAAUUAACUCUUGUGGGUUCACUUCUCUCUACUUAAAUAAAUGAUAUAAAACCAUAAUUACUUUUCAUAGAACAAAAUAUAUUGAGUUUAAAGGUGUACCAGAGAUUUUAACAACAUUUAUAUGGUGAUACAAUGCUAGAACGGUUGCAGCUACCAUAACAGUCAUUAUAACUAUACCAAACAUGUGUACAAGCGAGAUUAUAUAGAAGACUGAGCAGAGAAAGAAUCUUACCUCUCAUUCUUACCAAAUCCAAAACGUGCACCAAAGUAGAAAGCAACAGAGAUAAGCCACGAAUCACUGUGAACUGCAACCAAAGAGAUCCAAUCUUUUUCUAGCAUUCCGUCCCUUGCGAAAUUGAUGCCUAAAGCUGGUUCAGGAAGCUCGGGUGGAACCUCCUCGACGGGAAGAUUAACCUCCCAUGUCUCAUUUGGAAGUCCAUAAAGACAUAAAUUUUCCUUCUCUGCAUAAGUUAUAAAUAAUUACCUUAAGAUGAGAAACCACACAAAAAACGAACUAAAUCAAAGUUACAUAUAUGUUGAAACACACAAACACUUAAAGUCACCAACCCGUUAAAAAAUUAUGAAACCAACAUAACUGUUGAGACAGUCACACAGACAGCAACUCUGACAGAAAGGUAAAACUACUAACAGAGGAGACAACUAGACAAAGGGUCAAGAAAACAAAACUACUGCAGAUGGGAUCUAAUCAUGAAGAAAAUAUCUAGAGUAAUCUAGCAGAAAUUAGAAAAACAAAAGCUAAUGAAGCAAAAAAUGCAUUUCCCAUCACAAAUUCUUCCCUAAUUCAGGCCAAAAAGGAACUGCUGCACUGAAAUACACCUGUUGAAACCAACUAAACAAGCUAUAAUAAUAAUCAAAGCGUCAUGAAGCUAUACAAAACUUAACAUGGGUAACGGAAUAACUCACCAGGGUCACACUGAUGGUAAAACUUCUGAACAUCUGCAAAACAAAACAUGAAUAAACCCCGAAUCGUCAAAUCCCAGCAAAUGAAUAAAACCAAAGAACCCGCAAAUGAAGAAAACCCAAUUGAAACAAAAGAGCACAAAACAUAAAAACUCGCAAAUCUAGACAAAUUAUCAAAGAAUGGAGCAAAAAAAGAAACAGAGUAAGAAAGAAAGAGAUGGAGCUCACCAGUAGAAAGAGCCUUGAUGAGACCAGCUCUACGACCACGAAAGUCGCUAAAGACCUCUUCGACAGUGCGAGGUAUAGGAUGCUGAAUUCCUUCCAUAUUGCUUUCAGGCCAAAAGACUUCGCAGAUGAGAAUGAAUCAGCCUCACAAAUACGUCCUAAGUAUCGAGAUGCAGAAGAAGAAAAAGGAAAAAGCCAAGAUCGGCUUUUUAAUUUUUCCUUAUGAGGGAAAUUUGUAUACUUGGAUGGAAUUCGUAUUCGGGGAGAGUGAAAUCUAAUAACCUUUCAGAAGAAUUUAUUUGGGGAAAUUUAAGAAGGAGAGAGAGAGAGAGAGAGCAGCAGCAGCAGCAGCAGCAGCAGCAGCAGCAGCAGCAGCAGAGCUAAGAACAAAAAAAAAAAAAAACCCUAAAAACGAAAAGGAAAGGAGACAAAAGACAAUUUGGGGGAUUCAAAGCAUUGGAACAGAUUAAAGCGACAACAUCUCUACCUUCUUUUUUUAAUUAUUAUUAUUCUAUUUUAUUUUAUUUUUUGCACAAUUUGUAUUUAUCUAUAUGUUAUUUUUUUUAUGCAACUGAAGGAUAAUUAUUAAUAUCAAAAGUCAUUAUCUAUAGUCUAUAUAUCAAAUUAUUCAAUAAAUAAUGAUAAAAUACUAGUAAAUAAUUUUAUUAUACUGUUUGUUUUUCAUUAAUUCUUAAAUUACAAUAUACUGGAGACUCUAAAUAAUAUAAAGUCGUUUCCUAUUAUUAUCCUUAUUAAUUUUGGGUCAAUAUUUUUAAUAUGUUUCUGUUCUAGGCAGGUUCUAUAACUACUCAAGUAUAUUUCUGCCAUUUUUACUGUAGUCCAAACAAUGGAAAAACAAAAUUGAUGCCUUUUACAACCUUUAAUAAUUAAUGAGUUAUUGAGUAAAAUCACAUGAGGUAGUAUAAUCUCGUUAAUAAAUUAAAUCAGGUAUUUACAUAAUAAUAUGAUAAGAUAUUUUACUAAUUUUAACUACAUAGCCAGCAGCAAUAACAUGAUGCUAUUGGUAGAUUCUUUAUUGAUAAAAUAUACGAAUUUUGAUGAUUAAAAUAAAAUAAAAUAAAACUCUUGCGCGCCUAAACUGACACUAGGGUUCAUCAUCACAUUCACUGUCCUUCUUCUUUCUUCUCUCGGGUUCUUCUACUAUCGCGGAGCUAAAUCGACCACGCGGAUACACCUCCGACCUCCCGAUGGAAAGUCUAUGCUUCGUAAUAUACCUAACCUUGGAUUUCUCUACUAGUCCAAUCUUGGAAUUUUCUCGAAAGCAUGUUGAGGGGUUUUUAUAGUUCCGAUUAGGAUGUCUAAAGGGUUUCGUGUUUCUUCUUAUGGUGAUUUGCCCAUACCAAUCUUGUGGAAGGAUUGUGGUUUUUAAAUGCCCAAUUUUAGAUUGGAACGAUUGUAUCUUUUUGAUGCUCACUCUUGUUUAAUUUUCUAGUUGCUUGAUUUGGCUGUGUACCUCUCAUGCGGUGGUGCAGCAUUUUAUCUUCGCGGCCGUAAACUUCAAAGGUAAGGCCUCCUCAUUCCCAAUCUUUGUGGUGAUUUGAAUGUUUUGCUUUUAAUUUUAUCAAAUCAGCUAAUGUGUGUGUUUUUGCGGUGGCUCAGGAAAGCUAACUAUUUGGGGAGUAUCACUCGUGUGCUCGACUUAAGAUGCUUAGGUAUGUUUCUCUUUAGUAAUAAUUGGAAUUCUCGUUAUGCUUCAUCUGUAUUGGUUUUGGAUUAUACGAUCCAGUUGUUUCUUGUUUUGUUUUUAGAUGAAUUGCUUGCAGAAAACACCACGAAUCUCCUUGUUGUGGUCUCUGGAAGAGUUGGUUCUGCAGCGCCACUUAACUGCAAUGGUCUUUUGGGUGUUCUUGUGAAGGAAAAGGUAAGAUUGCUUUUGUAAUGUUGGCAUCAUAUAUGUGUGCUUGCUAUUGUGAUGGUGUUAUUGCAUCGUGAGUCAUUAAUUUUCUGAUGGUGGCAUAACAUGUAUAAUUCAGGCCAAACUGGAAGGUGAGCUCGAGUUGGAAAAUGGUGGUUCGAUAGAGACGUCUUUUAAGUUUCUGUUACGUGAAAAGGAGACUCCUUGGUAUCUGGUAAGAUACAUUCAAACGUUCAUUUGCUAUUUCUUGUCCGCAAACUUAACCCUGCAUCCUUAAUUGGUUAUUACUCUCUCACAUUUAGGAAGACAGUACGGGUCAGGUGAAUGUACUGGGAGUUCAAGAUGCUGAAGGAUUUUAUGGUAUUCUAAAUGAGUAUGUACUUGAUAUGCCUGCAAGUGAACUCUUAAACGGGGUUGUUUUACCCCAAGGCACAAAGGUUCUUCUUAUCUUCAUUUUUUUUUCUCUGUAUAUUCAUUGUUUUCUCUGUUUGGAUUGAAACAACAAGGUGAUGUUUUCUUUAGGUGCUUAAACAUAAUUGCCAUGGGCGUGCUCUUAAUAUUGGUACUUUCUUGACUUUUGUUGGCGAGGUAAGGGAUACCCAUGUUUUGUUUGUUUCUUCUUUAUUCUCUAAAUGUGGAAUCUGUAAGAAUAGUGAUUUUUUGCGGGCUGUGCAAGCUAAGUUACAUCUAAUUUCGUCCAUGUCUAUAUCGUAGGCUGUAAAAGACAAAGCUGGGAAUGUCAUGAUUCAAAGUCCCAAGGAACAACCUUUUCGGGUCUACAGUGGAGAGGGCUCAUUUGACAGUAUGAUUGAUGAACUGAAGUCCGUGUCAGAGUAAGAACCACUCAUCAUGUUACUGUCAUAGAAUUUACUUGGGAGCUGAUGAUACAGAUUUGUUGAAAGAAUGUUUUGUUAUUUUGCAGGGUUAAUAUCUUGAUAGGCAAGAUUUUUGGAACUAUUGCUGUGGCUUUAGCCGUCCUAUACGGUGUGGAAUACAUAAGAACGGUGCUGUUACCAUUCGUGUGGAAGAAAAAAGAGCUACGUAACAGAUCAAAGAAGCCUAAAUCAAACAGUGGAAAACCCCAUCAGCGAAAAGAAUCAGACACCAGCAGUUUGCCCAUAGGAUUGGCUCUCCUUCUGGUUAAAGACUCAGACAAAGAUAGUUGAAAUGCUUGGGGGUGAUCAGUGAGGCAAGAUACAAGGAAACUUUUUAGUUUGGUAGCCCUGCAAAUAUCUCUUCAUCAGUCAUAUAUAUAUCUUGUUCACACUUUAUAUUCACUUUUUGGUAUGAAAAGAAGAAUAUUUUGCAGAUAUAAAUUUCCAUCUACAUAUAAUGUAUUAGUACUUAAACAUGGUACAAUACCAUUUACAUGGGAAGCUGAAACGCUGAGCAGGUGGGAAAGCAACAAUAACCAAUGAUAGACCACCCAAGAGCCAUUCCAUAUGAAUAAUCAAAGAAAUAGUCACUGUGGUAUGGUAUGUAUUAUGGGAGUUCAUGAAGUUGUGGUAUGUAAAAGCUGAACAACUUGAUGCCGCGAAAAUUAAAAGCUUAACAGCUUCCAACGAAAAGAAACAACAACCAAGGAUAAACCGAAACCAAGAGCUGCUCCAUAUGAAAAAUUUAAGACAAAGUCACUAUCACUGUCACUCUCGCUGGUUCUUGGUAGUUUCACUUUACAUUGAAGAAAGUAAUCACCACAGAGAUGGUUUCCCUCGAAACUCGAGUUAGGAAAUGUAUGAAAUUGACCACCAGAAGGGAUUUUCCCUGAGAGACUAUUAUUAGCAACACUGAACUUGGACAGUAAUGUUAGAUUCUCCAGAGAUUUUGGGAUUGAACCAGAAAUACGGUUAUUGGACAAAACAAGAACCACUAGGCUUGUCAUUUCCGAAAGCGAGCUAGGGAUCGAUCCCGAUAAUGUGUUGGCAUUCAGAUUGAAUACAUGGAGGUUCUUUAAGUUUCCAAACUCCUUCCAUAUGGGUCCAGAAAGAUUGUUUUGGCUGAGGUCAAGCAUUGGAGGGAACAUGAAAACAUGUUUGUACCGCAGAAGUCGUCUAGUGUCCUCAUUCUCUUUAUAUAAUGCGAAAUCUAGAGAUGGGUCAUCGAAUGAGACAUCUCGAAUUGCGAGGCUUUGGAGUCUGGUUAAGCUUUUUGGGAUCUUCCUUGUGAACAAGUUAUUCGACAAAUCCAGGUAGAAAAGGUCGGUCAAACCAUCAAACCAAUUCGGGAUAGCUCCAGUUAAAUGGUUCCAUGAUAGAUCCAACACCUUUAGAUGGGUGCUCUUACUCAACCAGCUUGGAAUUUGACCGGUAAGCCUACAGUUUGGAAUAGCAAGUACCACCAGCUUCCCGAAAUGAAGACUCGGGUCAUCAGGUAGCAUCUCUCCAUGAAAAUUCAAAGUGAGAAUCAGAGUCGUCAGGUUCUUGCAGUGCUGAAGGACGUGAAGUGUCGCUGAAAUGUUAACAAGGCUGCAAUUUGAAAGCGACAGGUAAGAAAGGCUUUGAAAAUCCUUGAAGCUCUCAGGCACUUGGCCAUAGAAGAGGUUCCGGGCAAGAUUAAUGCUCCUCAGGUUUCUGCAAGCCGGUAGAUUUUCAGGCAAAGAGCCACUAAAUCUAUUGGAUCCCAGAUCAAGUGAGGUCAAGUUAGUCAUCACAGAACAAUUCAGACGUAAAGGACCACUUAAUGAGUUGUUCCCCAGGUCAAGCAAGAUCAAAGUCUGGGAAUUUGCCAACGACUUGGGGAUUCCUCCUGUGAAUCUAUUAGUGUGAGCAAUGAGGUACCUGAGCUCGACCAAUUUGUUGAACACAUCAGGGACUUCACCGGAGAGUCUAUUCGAAGAGACAUCGAGAUGAGCAAGGCUAGAGAGGUUACCAAGUGCAGGACUGAGCGAACCAAAGAGGCUGUUCUCUUGAAUCUCCAAAAGAUUCAACCUUUGAAACCGAAACAGAUCCUCGGGUAUAUUACCAGUUAGACUGUUCCUACCAAGGAAGAGUUGUUCGAGCAGAGCGCAUUUCUCGAACCCAGAUGGAAUAUCUCCGGAAAAUCCAUUGGAAUCGAGUCUUAUAAGCGUAAGCUCGGUGGAGUUGUGGCAAACAUGCGCAGGAAGCGAACCAUUCAACUCGUUAGAUGAAAGAUUGAUACUUGUAAGCGAAGGAAGAUUUAAGCUCUGUGGGAUUUGGCCAAUCAAUCCGUUAGAGCUCAAAUAUAGAGUUUCCAGGUUUACCAGACUGAAAACAGAGGGAGGGAUCGAGCCUAAGAUGAAAUUAUUGGAGAGAUUAAGAACUCUGAUCUGAUCCAGCAGCCCAAGAGAUUCAGACAAUCUACCUGAUAAUUUUCUGCUCAUAAGCUCCAGCUUGGUGAUUCUCGUAGUCUUGUCUGUGUCAUUUAAGCCAAGCGAAGAAGAAGAGUUACAAGUGAUCCCCACCCAUUCACAGCAGUUUGCAGAGGAAUUGAAAUCCCAACCAUCUGGCUUCGGCUCGAGCUCGUUGAUGAAGUCACGCAAGGCCUCCAUGUCACGUGGAUGGCACGUGAGUUGCGGAGAACGUGAUGAGUAGACGAAACAUGAUAGCUCUAAGACGAGAGCAACGAGCAGCAUCACCCACCGAUGAUGGGAAAGACCCAUGUCGAAACAGGAAGAGAUAAAGUGAAUCUAAUCUCCAAAAUCGCAACUUUUAACUGUAAGAAUUUCAAUGACUCAGACUCGGAGGAGGAGGAGCAGAUACAGACACAUGAAGCGAACGAAGAAAGUGACAUCAAAGUUGACUGGUUAUUCUCAAGUCCUUUUUUCUCUUUGACUAGUUAAGCGAACAAGACAAAAUAAAAUAAAAGGAACCAUUUUGAAAUUUAAAUUUAAAUAUUUUAUUGGAAAUUUUACGAGUCCCUUUAUUUGACUCAUCAAAUGUUCCUACUUUUUCCAAAAGUUAUUGGGUGAAAAAAAAAAAAACGAAAGAUGGGUUCUCAAUUUUUCAAGAGUUUGCUCCGUGUCGAGAAAAAGGUUGUUUUUUUCCUUCAGAUUCUUACCCUCGUUACUGUGAUUUUGCUGACAUUUGAGAAAAAUGUUACUAAUUUGUGGACAUUUUCAUGAAUCGUAGACUCCCAUUAAGGAUUUUGAAGAAGAAAUAACGCCUAAUGCUGUUGCUUGCUGUCUUGGUGGUGCCGCUAUAUAUUACUUGUUGAGGAGUUGGAAGUGUAAAAGGUUUCGACUUUGCUAUGAUAUAUUUAUUUGGUUUUCAUCCUAAUGAGAUUUGAAAAGUUAUUGUAGUGAAAAGAUUUGUCUUCUCUGUUAUGAAACCACAGGCAAGCUCAGAUUCUGAACCGUGCUGUCCGCGUGGAAGAGCUUCAAGAUUUGGGUAAGGUUUUAAGGGUUUAAAAGAAAGAUGGGAAAAAAAGGAUUUUGAGGUUUUUAGCUUUCAAAAUGCAACAAUCAAAAGACCUAUAUAUUGAGUUUUGUAGAGGAUUUGAUUGGUAACAACAAUACAUCGGGUCUCCUUGUUGCUGUAUGCGGAAAAGUCGGAUCAAAUGCAGCUUUCAUGUGUAAUCGCAGUGGCCUUUUGGCUGUCUCUCUCACUGAAAAGGUUAUUUGGCUUUUUGUUUCAAUUUUUUUGGAAAAUUUCUGGCUCUUGUUGUGUUAUCUCUCUGGUUGGACCGAAAUAUAAUCAUUUGGGACAUAUUUUGUUGUUUGUGUUUUCUCUCAGGCCAAACUUGUUUUUCCUACAGAGGAUGAACUUGGUUUCUUGGAUAUGGAUUACGAAGAGAUUCUUUUAAGCCAUAAGACUGUGACUGUCCCUUGGUUUCUGGUAAUAAUAAGAUACGUUCAUUCAUGAUCUAAUGUUCUUUUGUUGGAAAACUUAUAUUACUCUGCCUGAUUCUUUAUCUCUUUGUAUUUUAAUCAGGAAGACCACACUGGCCGUGUUAAUGUAGUUGGGUUUUAUGGUACUUUUAGAAGAAAUGUGUUUGCUGAACCUAUGAAUGAACUUUGCAAAGAAGUUGAGGUAUAUGCAAUUCGUCUUUCGCUAGUUAUUCCAACAACAACUACACCUCUGGUUGAAGCAAUUAUAUCUUGUGUUUUUCUUCUUUCUUUCUAAUUUUUGUAGAUUGUUACACACAUUUGCUCCGAGGAUGUUCUUGAGAUCGGUAGGCCCUUGAGUAUUGUCGCUAAGGUUGUAAGUCUUUUUUUGGUUCUUAUCUAAAUUUGUUCAUGAUUCACUUUUCAUUGACAAGUUAGGAAUGUGCAAUAUAGACAUUCUGAUUGUUUUCUUCUUUAUACUAAAAGGCUUUCAGAGGCGAAGAUGGGUCUCCCACAAUCAAAGCACUACCCUCUCUGGUCUUCGAUGGAUAUAUAUGUGUUGACAAAGAAGUUUACAACCUGCAAUCACAGUCAGGGUAAGAAAGAUCUGAUGUUCCUUCCUUUACUUGUGAGGUGAUAAAUCAUAUUUAUUCUUCUUAGAGAAAGUGGUUUUGUUUCAUUUUGCAGGUCUUGUAUGCAUAUCGCCUUUUUCUUAGCAAUUAUUGGUGUGUUACUCUGUGAGAAAUGAAAAUGCCGCUAGAUAUCAACGAGUAAAAAGUUCACUGAGUUUGUCUCUGAUAUUAGUAGAUGUUUAUCCCCCAUAGUUAGAAAUGGUAGAAUGAGUAGUUGUGACAGACAAAAAGACUUCUCAAACUCUGUCUUAUGGUGUGUUUUGAAACUUAUCUGUUCAACAAAAUUGGUUCUAUUGAUUAACCAACCACUUGGAUCUGUCACUCCGUUUUGCCUCCCAUGAAACAUGGUGCUUAGGUUUAUGGAAUUUUUACAAUGCUAUACAUAUGAAUAGAAGAGCAAACAAAUUUUAAUAUAUGUACAUGAAACAGGGGUAAUUAAGAGAGCAUGGUCAUCUCGCAGCCAUCAUGUAGACGUAAAAAGUUCAUUAUGUGGUUAUGUUAAUUUUUAGUAUAUGGUAAUAUUAAUUUUUAAUUUAUUGUAAGUCUAGGACAAUUCUGAUCGAAUAAAACCGGAUAAUGGAUUCCCAUGACUUCAAGGCUUCUAUAACAAAACCCUAAUAUUCAAAGAUCAACAUACUAUAAUAGCAUUUAUAUUCAAACUCGAACAAUUCGUAGUGGAGGAGAUAGAAGAUGAUUGAACUUGCUGCUAUAUUCAUAGGCAUUGGCUUCGCAUUCAGCUAUAGCAGCCGCAGCAAUAAAACGUUAGUCCAUUCUUAUAAAUCAAUCUCUGCUCUGCUCCGCUUGGAAACACACACUUACUUUGAUCUUGAUUUUGAUUUCUUCAUCAACUUCAGGAACGCUGUGUUUCUAAAUAAAGCUACCUCGGUGGACAAGCUGGAAGGGUUGGGUAAGAUUAUUUUAAAAGUUUUUUGGGCUUUUGGCUUGUGUGUGUUUAUUUCCAUGAUAGAUCGAUGAUUAUAAAAAAAAAAAAAUAUUACAAAAUUUUCAGAGCAGCAUAUUCUGGAGAGUAAGCCAUGGAACUCAAUAGUGGUAUAUGGAACAGUUGGAUCAACCUCACCCAUAGAGACCAAUCGUUCUAAAACUUCGGGUGUUUUCUACCAGGAAACGGUAAGCUUGUGUGCCCUCCUUUUGUUAAAAACAUCAAAGACAAGAUUAUUUUUGUCAAAACCAAACCAUGUUUGCUCUUUCUUUCCUUGAGGCCUCAAUUGUUUACGAGAGGUUUUUUGAAGAUCUUCCAAUGCUGGAAGAUGAGGCUAUUUUGUUGAACCGUAAGGAGGUUCCUUGGUAUCUGGUAUGUCAUUUAUUUUCUCAUCCACACACACACACACACAAAUAACUCUUAUAAAAAAUGUUUUAUUCUCUUCAAAGCCAUAAAUUUAAUUUCUAUUAUUUCACAUUAGGAGGACGGUACUGCUCAGGUUAAUGUAAUGGGUUACAAACGUGCCAGAGGAUUUGAUUAUAUUUUAAAAGCGUAUGAGUUUACUGAUCCAGUGGCUAAACACUUCAAAAGCUUGCUUUCUCAGAAAAAUGUUAAGGUAACAUUUGUUUUCUCCUCUUCUUUCCACUGGAUUCAACUACUGUGUGUGUGCUAAUUAAUGAUGUUUUUUCUUUUAGAUUACGGAUCCUAAAAGUUGCAUAACUUGUGAGGAAGUUCUUGAGAUUGGUACGCCUUUGACUAUUGUUGGUAUUGUAAGUCAACAAUCCCCACCAAUGCUUGUUUUUUUUUUUUUGUAUCUUCAAGAUUUUCAGUUAGUUUUGGGAUGUGAAAAUUUUACAUUUUGUGUAUAUAUUCUAAGGCUGGGAGAGACCAAGAUGGGGCUCCCAUGAUCAAACGUGUCCAUCAAAUCUUCAAUGGACGUAUAGAACUCGAGGAAUUGAUCUGUGAUAUGGAAUCAAACUCAGAGUAAGAAACAUCGAUCUCAUGUUCCCUUUUACUUGGCAAAUGACAAGUCAUAUUUUUAAUUUCUAAGAGUAACUUUUUGAUGAUGAUUCAUAUUGCAGGUCCUAUGGGAUAUCCUCCAUAUACUUUAUUGCUACGGGUAUGAUUUUACUCGCUAUGUGCGUUUUGGAAGAUCUCAACGAAGCUUAAGUGUUUUCAGUUUUAAUUUUGCUUUUGAGAGUCUGGUUUUAGCUCAAUACGUUUUCCUAUCUAAUAAUCUAUUAGUCACUGACUUUAUAUGUGCCUUUAUAUAUGGGAAUGAACAUCUCCUAAGAUGAAACUAAGCACAAACAAAACAACACUACUCUGUUUUAUUCAUCAAGCCAUAUCCAUAUCUAUAAUCUAUUUUUCACAUUCAUCACAUCGAUUUUAUUAGAAAACUUUAUUACUUGUUGAGUUUCACCAUUUCAACUUCGCCGGAAAAUACUGCAAACAAGCAAAAGGCGAUAGAUUUAGCCGGUAACGAUAAAAAGUUGAUUUUUGCUUCUAAAUUUGACAUAUCAAAUGUGAAUAUAUAUACAUUACCUUGUUAAUAAGUGAGAGAUAAUAUGGUUUCACUUCCUCCACGUUUACUCGAACUUUGCUUUUGCUAUAGAGAUCAUACUUGUUGAACACUUUCAGCCACUUCAUGUUCUCUCUGUCUUCUUUGUUCAUCAAAUGCUUAUAUGCUUCUGAUUUGUGAAGAGCUGCAAAACAAAAACACAAAAAAAAGAAAACGAACCCUUGACUUUUAUAAUCUUGACUCAUCCAUAUUACCGGAAGAGAUGUCUUUCAAAUACCGUAGAAGGAAUGGUAUCUGAUGAUGAAAAGACUGGCUGAUGGUAAUGUAGUUUGAUUCUCCUUUGCAACCUGUGAAAUUCAGUUUUGUAGUCGAAUAGAGAUUCUUACAUGUUGGCAAAUUCGAAAACAAAAUGUUGGGAUUGUCAUUAACUUACCAGGUACAUGUAAUCAUCAUGUCCCCAAGACAUAAACACAUUAUCAAGCCCACAGCCUUCGGUGUAUAUCCCAUACUUGGUGUUGUAACUCGGGUUGUCAUAGUCUUGAUUCUCCUUGAAGUACUACGUACAUCAAGAAACCCGCGAUGGGAAUCGAUUUUCAGAUUUUUUAGAACUCAAAACUAAGUUUGCCAAGUUGUGGUUAAUGAUCUUGUAUACCUUGUGGUGAACAAUAGAUUCAUCAAACGCACAUCCCACCGGAUAUGUAUCCCCUGUAAAAGAGACAAGUCAUUCGAGAAAAUAACAAAACGAUCUUCUCCAAAACACACAAUACUCACCAACAACAGCCCACUGAGGUAGCUCACCAAAUGAAGGAUGAAGAAGAACUUUUCCAAGAUCUUGAUUCACAUACACAGCAAUACAGAAUCAUUAAAACCGGUAAACCAAUCUGUGAAUGCGAUCGAAACGAAUCAUCAAAUAGAGAUUACCAUGGAUAAGGCCGGUAAGAUGGAGCCAGUCUUCAUCAGGGUAAUCUUUUCUGAUGGCUUCAGCUGUCUGGAGCAAAUGCUCAAUCUGAGGUUCGUCCAUAUCCGGAUCACUCUCGUCGAUGAACUCAUUUAGAAGCUCACAGCAUUCCCAAAUGCUCAUCUCAGUUCGGUUUAGCCUCCCGUAUUCCUCCCUCCUCUUCCUCACGAAGUCAACGGUUUGGCCAAUGUGAUUAACCCUGUAAAAUUCCUCCACACCUCUUCUCCUCUCACUCUCAGCGUCAUAAUCCCUUUUUAUGACAACAACAGAAGCAAAUAUCGAAUGAAUAAAGUUUCGAUAUUGCAGUCUUUGGUGUGAAUAUGAUUCGAAAGAUAUUUACCUGAAGGUGUGACCAAAGGAGUUGGUAUGAGGAGCCUCAAAACUUGCAUCUAAGACCAACUCUGUUUCUUCCUCUUUGACAAUCCCCUGGUUCUUCUCUACAGUCUCAUCUCGUCCAUCUACGAGUAACUCAUAUCCAAUCAUCAUAUUCAAUCAGUCAUACAAACAUAAUAAAAAUCGAAAAGGUUGAUUCUAAAUUCACGAGGAGAUCAUACAAACUUCUGUAAAUCUAAAUAACCAGAUCAUUUCAAAACAGAACAUGAAUGGACACAACUUAACUAGAAAACUCGAAACAUAAACUCAGAAGAGAUAAAGGAAUAACGAACCGUUCUGAUCUGAGUGGCGAUCGAAGAUAAUCGUCAUGGAUCAGAGUUUCAGAUCCAGAAACCAAAAGCUUAGGGUUUGUUGUUGGUGUUGAUUGAAAUUGGAGGAGAAAGAAAGAUGAUUGGUUUAUAUAUAUAGAGAGGUGAAAAAGCGAGUCCUGAAGUGAGAAUAAUGGAAAGAGUGAGUCCUUAUUAGCCAUUAAUUUACAGACGAAAAGUGUCCUUCAAUGGCAAAAUGUUCAAAAGUUUAGCCUUUUUAAUUGGAUUAGGGUUCUGAGAACCCGGUUCUUUCAUGCAGAGGAACACAGAAACGCAAAGAAACAGGUGUUACAGUGUAGAUGACGACUUGGCGCGUCAUUUUAUGUUUUUUUAAAAAACGUUAUCUUUGACCACGUGUCAAGCUUUUUUAAGUCCUUGCUUAAGUAAAUCCCCUAUCAAUCAAUGAUAAAACUUUAUUAAAACUAGUUUAUGAUGGUCUGAAGUUCCAAAAUUAAUUUAGAAUAUAUCUUGAGAUAUUUUAAUUUUGCUUGUAACAUUAUUUUACUUGUAAAUUGACCAUAUAUUGUGACACAUGUACAAAGAAGCUUUUCAUGUUCAGAGAGAAGAAGAAGAAGAAUCACGUCACCUAGAGACAGUGGGUUUUACGUGACGUGGCGUCUACUAAUAAUUUUGACUUCCUUCUCUUAUCCUCGCCGUUUAGUUUCUUGAUAAUCGCGAUGAGACACUCGUUAUGAGCCGUUGGAUCGGUAGCUUUUGAAUUCUCUGAUCCAACGGUGCCUUUGGACGACUCUAAUGAUUCUACAUUUGUGCUUUCUUUACUGAUGAUCUUUAGAUAGAAGUCCGUGAUCAAGAACAACAAUCCCACAAUUUGGUGUCUUAUUUACGUCUCUGUCUCUUAUUUAUUCAUAUUACUAACAUACAGAUCUUAAUAUAGACAUGUUAUUAAACUCUCUUAUGUAGUAGACAAUGUUACUCAUUGGCGACAAAGCCAUUCGUUCGUGAAAUUCUCACCUAAGUUUCAAUAAACAAAGCAGAUAAGAUAAGACCGGUAGAAGUAUACCAACCAGUCAAAAACGAGUAGUUGUCUUCUUUUUUAAAAACUACUUCGAAUGGAACGCGACUGGCCAAGGUCCAUAUGUUUGUCAAAAUACCAAUUGUUCAUCGGUGUCUUGGACAUAACUUGGAAACCGAGAGCAACACGGUCGCAGGUAUAUUACUUUGUAUUAGAAAUUCUCAAACAAGAGAGAUUAUAGUAUUAUACUAAUUAUCCACAUUCAAUUAGUUAAAGAUAGAAAGCACAAUUCAUUGUUCUGCAACCCCUUCCUUACAUGUACAUUUUGUCUAUCAAGGAACAAGAACCCCUCUGGUUUACCGGUGUACCUACACGAUAUUAACUUCCGGUUUACUGAAGAAAAAAAGAAGAUAGGAUCACCUUUGGACCCCUUUCUCAGCUGUUUCUUAUGUUUUUUUCUCUGUUUACUAUACCACCCAGUAUAGGCACUGUAGCUACCUCGGUGCUUCCUUCGAUUCUGAACAGGUUCAUUGGAUUUGAUGAUUCUGUGUGAUACCCCGUUUUGGUGGAAGCUUUCUUAGGAUAAAGAGGACCAGUGAAGAAGGCAAUAUCUCCACCAACUGUAAGUAAACACAACACACUUUUUGUUUAGAGAUUUUCAGAAGAAGUUUCACAUUUAGAUUCUAAGAUCCACAUACUGUGUGUGUAUAUAUGCAUAUCUAUGGUAGGUCAAUAGGUGAAUAGAGAGAGCUUACCAGAUAAUAUAUGAAGUUUAGGAUUGGGUGAUCUAAAACAUCAAGAUCUGCUGCUUCAUCGAACGCAUCAAAGCACAUCUAGACCAUGAAAAGAUGAUGAAAUGAAAGAUCUGGUUAGCUUUAGUUUCGGAGAUUGACGACAAACAAAGAGGAUCCAACCAACAAGACAAGGUCUAUUGAACUAUUGAUAUCAAUUAGUAUGAUGAGUAUAUCUUUACCAUGAUGCAUCUGAUGAGGAAACAUGUAAAGCAUAUGCUUGUCACGUAACCAACCUGCAAUUCGUAUAACAAAUGAAGGGGGUAAAGAUCCAAGAAUGGAAAUAGAAGAUCAGGUAACUCUGGUUUACUAUCCAAUGUUCACCUCUUGUAGCUUCUUGCGGCGCCCUUUAGAUUCUACUGGAAAUCGCUGAAGCAUCAGAAAAAGCCUGCAAAAAAAUAGUCAUCAAAGAUGAUAAACCAAGGCAAUUUCCUUUAUAACAGUGGCAAUAUAUAGAUAAGGCCUGAUGGCACAAAAAGGAUCUAGUGUAGCCGCCAGCCAUCAGAGGAAGGCAGGAAUCCCAGUUUUCAUAAUGAUAUCAACAACUCAUUUGUGGGAGCAGGUAACAAACAUAUAACUAAGCUACCAUCGUAGUGUAGCAUAUGCAACGGCAACACACUUACCUUCCUCCAUAUAGUAAAAAUCCAAGUGCUGCAAACAAAGAGACACCUGCAAUAUACAUUCAUAACGGAUGAGAGACAGAAUACAUAAAAAGAAUAUAAUCAAUGUUGAUGCAAGUUGAAUUAUGCUUCAAGCUAUACCUGCAAAGAACAUCUUAGAAACUAUUACCAUAAGUUGAACUGGCUUCCACCACAAUACCAACCAAAGAGCAAUCUGAAAUUUAAUACAUUCACAUGAAUGAUAAAGUUAAGGAAGCCACAUCAAUCCGACACAAAUGGAUACAAAAGGAAAUUUAAGAAGAAGCUCAGGUCCACUAAGUUCAAAGUUAGAUCUAAAGUUCUGAACUUUGCAGAAAGGACCAAACAGAAGUAGUUUCACCUGAAUUAGGUAUACAACUGCAUUAAUUGUGAAGAAACUUGGCCUCAGUCCAUCAGUGGAUACAGCACGUGCCUGUUAGGAUGGGAGUAUAUAUCAACAACAACGCAUCAGAGAUAAAAUUCAGAAUAAUAUACAGAGAAUCAACUUUAACCUGGUAGUAAAUUUCUGCCCAAAAGAGGACCAGGAGCGCAUAAGUGGUAAAGAAAGCAAGACUUGGGAUGUCAAGCAAGAUAUGUUGCAGAAUCUACAAGUAAAACCAAGCGAGCCUUGCAAAUUCAGAAAAUCCACAUAGACCAUCAAUGAGGUUAAAAUCACAAUAUCAAUGAAGACACCAAACCUCUGGCUGCAUAUUCUGUGCAUCUCGCCUGAAGAGAAAAACUAGGGCUCGAACUACAAGGAAAAAGAGAAAGCAAUCAACAAAAGAUACAAAGACAAAAACUAAAAACUAAACAGACGACAACAAAAUCAGGCUGUGCAACAAAACCAACCUCCAUUCACCAGGAAGUUGAGAAAAUGAAAGACCUUCUGUGUCGUCCAGCCAUAGUCUGGAACCCUCAAUUGUAUUCUUACCAAUUGAAUCUACAAAAUGAAAACUUUAAUCAAUUUAUGUUUUUUCUCCGGCCACAAUCUGAACUCCCUACAAUACCUUUUACAAAGCAAUAAGAGUACCGAAAAAAAAAAAAAAAAAACCCAGCAUCUAUCUCCUCAUUUCAAUAUCUUCGAAUUCCCAAUCUUUCGAUUUCAGAAUAACCCAUUUCCCAAUUCCAAACUCAAAUCAACCAAACAUUUGAAAGCAGAAGGACAAGUACCACAGCAAUGACGGAAACAAUCCCAUAUAGAAAAGCGAGAAUAUGGAAGAUACGAUCCUGCCACAUCGGAGAUUCGUUCACAUCCGACCACCAAUUCGUAGCCUCCUUCAAAUUAAGCGCUAAGAUUGCUGCCGCCGAGGAAGAAGAAGACGAAGACAAAAUCCCCGACGAAGAUAACAUCAUUUCCAAACCGCCGCUUCUCAUCUCCGGAAUUUAAAAACACACAAUAUUCAGAUUCCUUACAGAUUUAGCUCCUUUGAUCGAUCGAAUCACUUCUCCUCUCUCCUCCUCCUUCUCCUUCUCCUUCUCCUUCUUCUUCUGUUUUAGGUUUUAUUAUUUUUCCUUUUUCCAACUUUUUUUUGUUUUGUUUAACUUUAAAGGUAAUUAUAGUAUUACCCGAAAUAAGAUUUUGAGAACGGCUGUGACAGGGAACACAAAGAAUGACGUGGAAGAAAUUAUAAGAGGUAACCGGAAAUAACCGGUGAUUCUCUCCGUCGGGAGAAGUUGCGGUGACCGACACGCGACGUUGUUAUCAUAAUUCCACGUGUAUGUAUGCAAUGCAUACGUCGAUUAGUUAAAUGCUAGUUUGGAUUUAAAUGCACUUUUUAGAGAUUGUGACUAAUGACGUUAACCAUUAGUUUAAAAGGUUUAUUAUAUUCAGUUUUAAUGUGUAACAUAAUAAAAGUCAAAGUUAAUGCCAAAUUAUUAAUUCCAAUAUAUAUUCAAAUAACAAACGAAUUAUUGCAGGAAAUUAGUUACGUACGCACAAUUACAACAAUAAUGAAUCAAAUGGAUGAUAUACAUGUAAACAUGUAACAAUUUGGAUUUUUAAUACUCUUGAGACUUUCUCGGAGAGAAGACUAUAUUAUAAUAACUCUUUUAAUUAACAGCAGAGCAGAUCCUUCGGAUUUGUCCAUCUGAACCAGUGAGUGUCUGAAUAUCUCCCAUUUUGAUCAUUGCAGCUGCAAAAUCAGACGCGAACCUAGAUGGGUUUCUGCUGUACUCCGUCACAAUACUGUCUGUUGAAGCUCCGGUUCCGAACAAAACUUGAUCGCUCGCCAAAAGACCUUUCUUCUGCAUCAAGUUUCUGUAAUAGUUAUUGUCGAACGAGUUUGGUGUCACUUGAUCUAGAGGUGCUCCAGUCGUAUCUCCACCGUUGACCGGACAACGACGCUUACGUGUGCUGGAGAAUCCUGCGUCGAUGUCACUCGAGUUGUCGUAAAGCCUAUCCCUGAACGUGAAGCAUUGAGCUUGCCCCAAGGUGUGAGCUCCUGUAGAUAGGGUUUACUUGUGUCACAAGAAAUUUCUUAAACGCUAAGAAAAUUAGAGAUUAAAGUGUGAUUUCUAGGGUGAAUAACCUGAGAGAGCGACGAGGUCUCUAGUGUUGAGUCCUUUUCGAAGAAAGAGUUCAGAGAGUGUGUCGAGGCUUGCGCUGAAGCUGGGGAGAUCGCCACUGUCUGCAAUAGCUCUAAACGCGGCGGUGGAAUCUCUCCUACCAACCUUCACCGCAUAUCUUGGACCUCCGACCUAUUGAUGAUACCAAAAUUUAAAUAUUUAAGUAUUAAUUAGAACUAUGAUCGUUUGUUAUACGUACUGUAAUACGAAAAAUGCUAUAUUUCUAGGAAAUAUGUAAAAAUAGUAGUUUAAGAUAUGAUAAUAUAUUUGAAGAUAUGUGUAUUAUAAAGAUGAUAUAGACUAACGUAUUCAGAAGCGUCUCUCGCGGCAACGGCAAUAAUAUCAGCGCAAGAAACAACGCCGGGACAUAUACUCUCCACAGUGGAUUUGGCUUGAUCGAUAACUUCAAACCCCCUUGCCGAUUGAAAAUUUGCUAGUGAAUCUCUCUCACUCUCCAUGUUAGGAGUUGCCACGAGCAUGAUCGAUGCAUCACAACCCUACGAAAAAGUUUCAAGAAAUAAACAUAAAUUUUAGAGCGGUCCAUGAAACACAUGUAUGUACAUGUUGGAUCAAAUGACAAUUACAUACAUUGACGAAGCAGUCGUGGAAAUGAAGACGGAUAAGAGAAGCAGCCAUUCUACGCUCACGGCUGAUUGCGGAUCGGAUUGAUGAUCUGAUGGUUGAGAGAGCGUUUGGACAAGUUUGGUCGUAGAAAGUAGGAGAAAGCUGUGCUUGAGAGAAACAAGACAAACUCAAUAACAAUACAAGAAUCUUGAAGAUCGUCAUUUGUUGUAACAACAAGAGACUCUAAUCUUUUUUUGUGAUUUAAGUAGUAAAACAAACGAUGUAAUAAGAGCUAAUUGAGAAGUGAUCGGAGAGUUGAAGAUGAUUUGGUGUGACUUUGAGAAAUGAGAUGAAACGAGUGUUAUAUAUAGGAACGAAACAAUCAAAUCGGUCACUUUUUUCUGCGGGAGCGCGUUAAAACCAUGACGACCAUUUCCUAAGUUGCCUUUUCUCCUUCAAGGCUUGUAUCAGUACAGAACAUCCUAAAAUUUAUGUAUACAAUGAGAUUUCUCAUAACUCUUUAAGGGUGAAUUGUUAAAAAAGACGAUUAUAUAUUUACAUUCUCAUUAUUGCAUUUAACAAUCUGAAAAUAUAUAAUUAUUCUUUUUGUUAAAAUGUAAUAAAUUUUAUUAUGAUAACGAAUUAAAUAUUGUUGACAAAAAAAAAUGAUCUAAAUAUUAUAUUUCAACAAUUAUUUACUUUUCUUGAGAUAUACGUUGUUUUCAACAAAAGAGUGUUAUCGGGAGUAUUUGAUUUUCACCAUCCCUUUUCCACUCUUGCAUUACUUAACACUGGAUUUAUGGAAAGCUAGCCUACGUUGACCAUACAAAUAUAACUUAAAAAUUAGAAGAAACCGUAUGGUUACACGAAAUUUUGAACAUUGACUUUUGACUUUUUGGAAAAGUAGUGAAAGAAUCUUUUAAAAGGAUAAUGUGAUGUCGCAUUGUCCAUACCACUAACCAUGCACAAGUGGGGUGGGCUGAGGCUGAUACUUAACUUGUUCGGCUUUGCUUCCCUCUUUAGGUAACUUUGUUCGUCGGGUUACUUCGAAACCUUAGAUAAAUUUGGUUCAUUUCGAUCAAAAUUUGUUAAACUCUAAUCCCCAAUUUCAGAUGUGAACGAUGUAGAACAAAAGAUACCCUAAAAAACCCAAUUAGCCUCAAGUGUUGAUGAUAUUGUUUAUCUCUGUGCGUAUUCUCCGUUGUAGUGAGUUUUCUUCACUGGAAAAAAUUGUAUAAACAAUAUGUUCCGUGGUUAAAAAUAGAUAUUUAAUUUAAAAUUGACUUGUAAUAAAAAAAUAAAUAUAUACAUAUACGUCAUUUGGUUUGAAUUAUAAUUGAGUACAGCUUUGAUGUGAUUGGAUCAUGUAAAACAGUUUGGAUCCAUGCACUCGUCUAGUAACAGUCGAACAUAGUUGAAUUGACCUUUAAUUUCCAUCAAAAGAGAAACGUACGAAACACACAUGCUCAUCAUCCAUAUUAAAUCACAAUAUAUACGUUUACAGGCAUCUAGAUUUGUGGUGGCGUGGUGCUGAAGCUGAUGCAUAGACAGCUAUCCUCGGUUGUUCAUUCUGACAUUGUACCUUUGUUUUGAUAUACGUUCCACAUUUUCUGAUAUUCAUAGAUUUCGGACGUGGAGUAGAGAUGAGUCACCAUGUAAUAAUAAUCAUCUAAGAAAACAAAAGGAAGUUGUGGUGUUUCUUUAAUUUCUGGGAAUCAUAAUUACAACUAAACUUAUGUCUGCAUGUAACAAUCAAACCUUUAAUAUUUUACUACGAAAACGGUGAAACACGACUACGUACGUAUAUGGUAAUGAACGUCGAUAGCGAUGCAUACAAAUUCUUCUUCUUCUUUUUUUUUUUUGGUUUCUUUUAGCGAAGGCAUACAAAUUCUUAUGACAACUUUUAUCAUGAUAAAAAAAACUAACCUAGUAAUUAAUAUAUAAAAUUUGAGGAUAAUAUCAUAAAUAUGGUUCUCUUUUACAAUAUGUACGUAGUGACAUUGCAAGUCAACUGAUUAAUCUUUUUUGGGGGGCAAAAGUCGGCUGAUUAAUCUAACCACUCUUUUUCACAAGGUAUGUAUACGUAGCUUAAUUCCAUUUUUAUUUCCUAACAAAAACCAAAUCGAUAGAAAACAUUUGGCCAUGAACCAAAUACAGAAGGUGUUGCAAACGGAUCAUUCAUCGGUUUUGAAACUAAUUUGGUGCCUUGUUGAUUUGGAUAGGAAAUUAAAUUAAAUUUAGUAUCUUUUAAUCAAAACUUCCGAGCUUUAUGUAUAUAUUGUACGUGUUUGACAUUUAAUUUUGACUUUUUCUUUUCUGGUUGUCGUCAAUUGUUCCUUUCAUACUAAUCGCACAAAUAAUUUUUUGGUAUAGUCUUCAGAUCCGUAUUCCAACCUAUAUAUGAUUAUAAGAAAUAGAAACUAAAAUUAAGCGCUUACUAAUGAUGUUCUUGUUUUGUCUUCCCAAUCCUUUAGUUAUGUUCUUUUCUAAGUUAACAAUUUGACCAAAAUACAAAGUCAGAUCCCCAACAAUCUUUAUUUAUUAUAAAUAUUUUCUCUAAUAUCACACAGUCUCCAACUUUGAACAGUGACACAGCCUUUAAAAAAAAAUGCGACACCGCGUGAAAAUUCCCAUAUGCACGUAUAUAUACUCCCCUUUAGGGUUUGUAACAUUCAACAUCAAGCUCAAUCAAAUACCAUUCUUGAUCAACAAAUUCACCAACAAGAAAAUAUUAGGAUUGUUAACUACAUCUGGGGAUAUUCCAAUAUGAAGAGAUUUUCACUAAUGUUUACGUUGAUGACGGUGAGCAUCAUCCUCUCGUUCUCGAUCUGUCAAGCACAACUUUCUCCAACAUUCUACGAUCAAUCUUGUCCGAAUGCUCUCACCAAGAUUCGAUCCUCCAUUAGAACCGCCAUAGCUCGUGAGCGACGAAUGGCCGCGUCUCUUAUCCGCAUGCAUUUCCACGACUGUUUUGUUCAUGUAAGUUUUCAUUCUUCCAAAUACUAGUUCAGUACGUAGUUUCACAUUUUUGGAAACACAUUCAUAUAUAAUACUGUUGUGUAUGUUUAGGGUUGCGACGCGUCGAUAUUGCUCGAGGGGACAUCAACGAUAGAAAGCGAGCGAGAUGCAUUGCCAAACUUCAAAUCCGUAAGAGGUUUUGAAGUCAUAGACAAAGCCAAAUCCGAAGUCGAGAAAGUUUGUCCCGGCAUUGUUUCUUGCGCUGACAUCUUAGCGGUUGCGGCAAGAGACGCUUCCGAAUAUGUAUGUUACUGAUUAAUUAUAUAUUUAUGUAUAAUAUGUACCAAACAUCAUUUUAAUAAUAAACCAUAUAUAUAUAUAUAUAUAUAUAUAAUAAUUGUCCAACUACAAUAUUUAGGUGGGAGGCCCGAGAUGGACGGUGAGACUCGGAAGGAGGGAUUCAACAGACGCGUUCAAGGCCCUGGCCAAUAGUGGUGAACUUCCUGGCUUUAAAGAUAGCCUUGACCAACUCUCUGGUCUCUUCAGCAAGAAAGGCCUUAACACAAGAGACCUUGUGGCUCUCUCAGGUUCGUGCAAGAUUAUAUUUCUAUACCAUUGAAAAAAAAUUUCCAUUAAUAAAUGUUGAUAUUUUUUUUUAAUUUGUGAUUUGCUAUGCUAUUAUGGUAAUUACAUUGGCUCUUGUUACAGUAUACCAUGCAUAAUUCGAAGUGAUAUUUAUAUAUUUGUGUAUGCUAUUCAGGAGCUCACACCAUAGGGCAAUCUCAAUGCUUCUUGUUCCGGGACAGGCUUUACGAAAACUCGAGCGACAUCGACGCAGGAUUUGCCAGGACGCGCAAACGCGGAUGCCCAACAGUGGGAAGUGAUGGCAAUCUUGCAGCCUUGGAUCUUGUUACGCCUAAUUCUUUCGACAACAAUUACUACAAGAACUUAAUGCAAAAGAAAGGACUUUUAGUAACCGAUCAAGUUUUGUUCGGAUCCGGUGCAUCAACCGACGGCAUUGUGUCGGAAUAUAGCAGAAACCGAUUGAAAUUCGCGGCAGAUUUUGCCACAGCCAUGAUCAAGAUGGGUGAUAUUGAACCUCUUACUGGCUCUACCGGAGAAAUCAGAAGGAUAUGCAGCUUCGUUAAUUAACAACAAUCAUGCAUUUUAUUGCUUGUUAAAUUUAUUUGUUGAUUCUUUGUUGUAAUUGUUUGUAAUUUCUGCCACCAAUUUGUGUAUUGAUUUUUUUCAUUUUAAGAAACUGAAUAAUAAUGUCAGAGUUUAUAGUUAUUUCUUUUGAUGAUUAAAAAUAUUCGAUACUAUUUGGUUAAAUGUGACCAAUGAAUACGCGGCUCCACCAUAAAUUGGGUGCAACAUGUCACAUGUGAUAUAAACUUAAAAAGGUAUCACUCUGUUUCUUCGAGCCUGUGAAAAUGCGCGACCAAUGAGAGUAAGCUAAACAGAGCAAAAGACCGAAGUUUGAAUCGAAAACUUUCGUCUUCCUUAAUUCUUCUCUCAGAUUUUUACGGCGAGCCACUACUCGCUAUACAUCAGCCCCAUAUAUAUCCUGAAUUUUCUCCGGUAACUUCUUCGUAUAUAUAUACAUAUCUCUCCCAAAAACAUUUGGUUCCCGUUCGUGAAUUAGCGGUAGGGUUUCAUUUGUCUCUCCUCGACGAAUUUUGUCCCAUUGAUUGGUUCGUUUGGAUCUGAAGAGUUGUUCGAUUUUGAUCAGUCUGAAAAGGGUAUUUGUUCGUUUGCUCAAUCGAUCGAGUUUGUUCGUGGGUUCGUUCUGCUGUGGAAUAGUAUCUGGAUCUGUUAGAUUAAAGACUAGAUUUUUAUUUUUGGUUGCGAUUGAGCUGUGGGAAAAUGAAUUGAUCUUCAGGUGGGGUUGGAUCAUCUAAGAGUGUUUCAUUGAGGCUGUUAAUGAAUAUUGCUGUAAGAGAGGAGGAGAAUCUGCUUUUAAGCUAUUCGUGCUCUUUUCUGGGAUUUCUCUGUUUCUCGAGUUUAAGUUUCGGUAAGAGAUCUGCCGCCGCCGUAAACCCUAGAUUUAGAUGGGAUAAGGCGUUUUUUCAGAUUAGAGGAGAGAACGUUCCGAAUUUGACUUAGUUGAAGUGAGAUGGGUUCUUCACAAGGCUCCACACUCUCGGCUGAUGUGAUGAGCCUUGUGGAUACAUUGCCUGUGCUUGCAAAGACCCUUAUCGCUGGAGGAGCUGCUGGGGCUAUUGCUAAGACUGCCGUUGCACCUUUGGAAAGGAUCAAAAUUCUAUUGCAGGUGAUUCUCCCAUCAUAUUAUUUUUCAAUGGCUCUGAUUAUAUCUGUUUUACUGGUUUGAUCAAAUUCGAAGAUAUUUGCUUUGCUGUUCAUUGAGCUUCAGUACUGUUUUUUCUUUUUUACCAUCUACUGAUUGUGUACUUGUGCUUUCAACACUAGACUAGAACAAAUGAUUUUAAGACUCUUGGUGUGUCCCAGUCGCUAAAGAAGGUGUUACAAUUUGACGGUCCUCUUGGAUUUUAUAAGUAAGUACCUAGUAGUGUGACUCUUAUUUUGUAGCUUAUCCCAAUCACUUUUCUAAAUUCUUUUGAUGUGCAUAAUUCUUCCAGAGGAAACGGGGCAAGUGUUAUUCGAAUUAUUCCUUAUGCUGCCCUUCAUUACAUGACGUAUGAAGUUUAUCGUGACUGGAUUUUGGGAAACAAUCUUCCUUUAGGUUCUGGUCCAAUUGUUGAUCUUGUGGCUGGUUCAGCUGCAGGCGGAACAGCAGUUUUGUGCACAUAUCCUCUUGAUUUAGCUCGCACUAAGCUAGCUUACCAGGUUUGUGAUUUCGAAUACCCUGCUUUUGCUGUUUCCUUACAGAACAUGAAGGAUGUCUUUUUGUUUCUUCUCUUAUGCCGUUGUUAUUCCAUUUUAGGUGUCUGACACAAGACAGAGUCUCCAAGGCGGUGCAAAUGGAUUUUACCGUCAACCUACAUAUUCAGGCAUAAAAGAGGUGCUUGCAAUGGCUUAUAAAGAAGGGGGACCACGUGGGCUAUAUCGAGGCAUAGGUAAAGCUCAUAAAAUUUGCUUGCAUUAAUGAUUAAAGUGUAUAUUAAAUUGGUAGAGGAAGUCGUUUCAACUAUAAAGAAAUCUAGUUUAAUCUUGGGUAGUUUAGUUUAGUAACAAACUGACUCUUCGACCCCAUUUUGUGUGUGAACUUUUCCUAAUUUGGAUUUGAAGAUGAUUAACAAAGGUUGGCACUUUCUUGUGUGUUUUGCAGGGCCAACACUGAUUGGUAUCCUUCCUUACGCGGGCCUUAAGUUCUACAUAUAUGAGGAGUUGAAAAGACAUGUUCCGGAAGAGCAUCAAAACUCUGUUAGAAUGCAUCUACCUUGUGGAGCUUUAGCUGGUUUAUUUGGCCAGACCAUCACUUACCCAUUGGAUGUUGUUAGGAGACAAAUGCAGGUAAAAACAAACAAACCACAAACAAGAUUCGAGCAUUGCAACAUUUCAGAAUUCAUAACUUAUCUGGUGUUUUUGUGUGACAACAGGUAGAGAAUCUGCAGCCUAUAACGAGUGAAGGCAACAACAAGCGUUACAAGAACACAUUUGACGGGCUUAGCACAAUAGUUAGAACUCAGGGUUGGAGACAGUUGUUUGCUGGUUUAAGCAUCAACUACAUUAAGGUAAAACAGAUUGAAAAACACAGUGGAUCCAAGAUCAUAGUCUGGAUUCCACUUUUUGUUCCUCUUCCAAAAUUAUGACUCAUCGAUUGUCUUUGUUUGCCAGAUUGUUCCAUCGGUUGCGAUUGGAUUCACGGUCUAUGAGUCAAUGAAGUCAUGGUUGCGGAUUCCACCGCGAGAAAGAUCAAAACCAGCAUGAGGGUCACUCUCUGAAAAUAGAGACACAGAAGACAGAAGUACUGAUAAUUUGUUAGACAGAUUUCACUUCAAUAUUUGUAACUUCCUGAGGCAAAUUUGCCCAUAAAAAUCCUUGAUAGUGAUGAUAUUCUUUGAUAAAUUAAUCAAAAAGUUAAAUUAAUUGUGAUCUAACCCAAAACAAAAAUAAUAUUUACGUAACUGUUGUACAGCAAAAGUUUGAAAAAUGUGAUGUGUUUAAGUCUAAAACAACUUAAAUGAUAGUAUGAUUAAUAAUAAUUAAUAAUGGGGCAAUAUCUUAAAAAUGAGUUCAAUGAUGGACCGACCAAUUUUAACAUGCGUAUGUGUUUUUGAAAAUGUCAUAAACAACCCCACUUCCUAGCACGAAUCACUCGACACGACUUGAGGUUAUAUAGUAGUCUAUUCGGGGUAUAAUAGUCUUUUUGAUCCGGUGAACCCGAGCUCAAGAGAUGUGUAUUUUUGGCAGUAAGAUCAUCAAAAAAAGAGUUUUAUUUGUCUGCAGUUCCCUUCUUCUUCUCCUCUCGCAGGAUUCGGCUCUUCAGUUCUUAAUUUAAUCCUCAUCUUCUGGGCAAGUCUGAUUCGUUUCUAUUAUAAUUUCUGGGCUUUUUUUCCCUUUUUUCUUUUCAUUGCCAGAUCAUUAUUGUAAUUGUUGUUUUAUUUUUCUCUCAGAAAUUAGAGGUUUUUUUGAGGGUUUGUGGUCUUAGCAAUGGAAGGAAUGGUGUCUUCCGGUGACCAGCAGAGAUUAGUCUCUUCCUUCCUUGAAAUCGCUGUCGGACAGACCGCUGAAACUGCUCGGCAGUUCUUACAGGUUUGUGCUCGAAACUGGUAGAUUUGUUUCUUCUCGGAGGGUGCCUUUGGUCAAACUGAUGGAUCAGUGUGAGUGAGCUUAACCUUGAUUGGUUUUCUUCUGAUUCACUGCUCUUUUGGGUCGUAAGUGUUUGCUUCGGAGUUAUUUCAGCUUAGGAACCUCUGGGAUGUCGAGUUGAAACCCUAGAUUAGGUCUCUCAUUUUUUUCAGCUUAUGGCAAAAUUUGAUGAGCACUCUUGACUAGAUUGUAAUUAGAUGCAGUGAGCUUUUUUUUUGGUAACUAUCGGUUGAUCUGGAUUGAGAAUAGACGAGAUCUUUGUGGUUGGUUCCUAUGGUGUUACGAUCUGCAUUGUGAUGAGAUUAGCUUGGCGUUUUUUUAUAUUCUUUGUGUGUGAUCAUUUUUUAAUUCAUAUGAUUUGUAAGUAACUCAUUUAUCAACAGGCAACAAGCUGGAAGCUUGACGAAGCUAUUCAGCUUUUUUACAUUGGAAAUGAAGGUGGUAUGCUUCCGUCUGGUACACACACUCAGCCAGAAUCCAAUGAUCACAUGGCUACACAAUCUUGGGGGUAUGAUAAAUGAUUAAUGUUAUAAUUUCUUCACUGUAAGUAUUAUCCAUUUUUGGUUUGUUCGACCUGAUGGUUUGCUGUUAUAUUUUAUAGGGCGGGUACAGACACAGGAAAUCAAGGGAUAGUUCAGAGCGAUGUAGAUGAAGUCCGUGCUCCUUUGCCUGUUGUGAGGGAGACUCUUUAUGGUGACGCAGUGUAUUAUGGGUUAGUCUCUUUUUCGCUUGCUUCUUUGUUUUUUCUUAAAUCAGGAUAUUGUUUCUAGGUUGAAGAUUUAUCCUCGGAGCUGCGUCUCCGGACAGCAGAUUGUAUGUUGAAGAUUUAGUGGAUGUAGUAACAACCAAUGAUGUAGGUUACUUGAAAUUUUGGAGUUACCCUCUUUAGUUUCUUGAUUCGCAGGGGUUGGUUGAUUUCUCUACUGUUCUUCUUCCAAGUGCAGUUUUUGGAUUUACUAUUGUUCCAGUUAGCACUAGUUAGGAUUCUCAUUUAGGAUUAAUUGAUGCUGUUAACUCAUAUCAGACCUGGUUGAAUAUCCAGUUGGCUCUACUAAGUUGUUAGCAAAAGUCAGGUUCUGGCUCUGUUGGAAUCUCAACUGUUGGGGAGCACAUUACAAUUGCUUCUGCAGUUAGAUCACUCCAAACUUCUGUUUUUGGCAGCCAGCUGAAGCAUAGUGUUUAGUCUUUUGUUCUCAAGGCGCUUUGUAUGAUCAUGUAGUUAAGGUUGCUCUAGUUGACUAUGUGUCAGGCUGUCAACGUCAUGUUGGUUCAGUUCCUUGCCUUGCCUCAACCAAUUCAAUAGACAAGGAAAAAAUGCAUGUAAAGUUGUACGUCCCAGGGAAGCUAUUAACAAGUACACAAACUAUGUACCACUGUUAGAAGUAUAAUCACGUUCCUCUAAAAUUGUUGUUUUCAUCUUUCAUAAUCCCAUUGAAAUCAGCAUCUCGGACAUGUUUAAUCAUAUACCCAUUCUAUGUCGAUAUUGGUUUAUUUUUUUAAUGCUGAUGAUACACUUUUCUAGCAGUACAUGAUGAAUGUAGUUCUCAUAAUUUACUUGCAUUUGUGAUUAGGGCUAUGAGGGGGGGAAACUCUCAGCCUGAACCAACUUCUUUGAUUGCUUUCCGGAACUUCAGUGAAGAGCCAAAAAGCCCGGGAAUUUGGGAACCAGAUGAAGGUGCUUCCUCUGCCUCAGCGUCAGCCUCAGCCUCUGCAUCAGAGUCAUCAUCUGCUCCUCGGGACAGCUUGGCAUCGUUGUACCGUCCUCCUUUUCAUCUGAUGUUCCAUGGCUCUUUUGAACAGGUUUUUGACUCGGUUACUUGUUUGGCUAAUUGCUUUUCUGCUUUCUUAUUCUAAGCCUCUCUCUAUGGUUUUUUGUUCAGGCAAAAGCUACUUCAUCUUCUCAGGAUAAAUGGCUUCUCGUCAACCUUCAAUCUACCACGGAAUUCAGCUCACACAUGGUAUACUCUCUGAUAUUUCCUUUUUCUGGAUUUAUUUCUCGACUAAAUUUUUGACGAUAGCACGCACAUAUAGGGGUGUCCAAUCUGUUUUUGGUUAGGGUUUAGUUUAGAUUUUUUUCUUUUCAUUUUCAUAUUUGUUUGUUUUCAUUUCAAUUGAGAUUUGAUUUCUUAGAGAAUAUAUCUUCAUUGUGAAAGAUUUUUUAAGAAAAAGUGGGCUUUCCUUCUCGUUUGUUUUGGUUUUGGCCUGUUUGAAUAAUAGAACUGGAUUGGUUUAUCUUCUCUUCCGUUUGGUUUUUUGUUUCAGCUCCGAUAGUUAAACUGUAUUUUACACCCGCUCACAUCCUAACUAAUUGUGUUUCUUUCUCAUAGCUUAAUCGAGAUACUUGGGCGAAUGAUGCUGUUUCUCAGACUAUCAAAGCCAACUUCAUCUUCUGGCAGGUUUAAUAUAAAACUUACCCCUUAACCUUCUGCUUGCUUUCCGAAAUUCUCUUUACAGAAUUGGUUAAAAUCCCUCCUUUUCUGGUCUAGGUCUAUGAUGAUACCACAGAAGGAAGGAAGGUUUGUACAUACUAUAAGCUCGAAUCUAUUCCUGUGGUGCUUGUAAUUGAUCCAACCACUGGUCAAAGGAUGAGAAUGUGGAGUGGAAUGGUCGAACCAGAGAAUUUGCUAGAGGAUUUAGUGCCGUUCAUGGAUGGUGGUCCUCGUGAACACUUUGUUUCUCUUUCAAAGAAGCGACCAAGAGGCAGCUUCUCAUUGACUCCUCAUUCCAAACCCAAAGGUUAGUCUCAAAAAAUUUCUGCAACUUCAGUGUCUAGUCUGUUGGGAAAAAAUGAUUGACCUUGGCUUAUAUUCCUUUAGAUGAUGUUGCAAAAGAUGAAGAAGAAGAAGAACUGCAACGAGCUUUAGCUGCUUCCUUGGAAGAUAACAACAUGAAAGACUCUUCAGAUGAUCAAUCGACAAUAACGCCUGAUGAAGUAGCGGUUGAAGCAGUUACAUCUGCGGUACUGCCAACAUUCCCACCACUUCCGGAAGAACCAAAGGGAGGUGAUCGCAGCGUACAAUGCAGAGUUGGGAUCCGUUUACCCAACGGACAAAGACUUCAAAGGAAUUUCCUCAAAACAGACACGAUUCAGGUCCUAAGAAACAACAUUGAUUCUUGCUCAGUAUUUUUGUCUGAGGUUUUCUGAUCUAAUUGCUGUCUCUAUUGUAGCUUCUCUGGUCUUUCUGCUAUUCUCAGCUUGAGGAAUCAGAUAGGAAGAAGCCACUGAAGCUAACACAAGCGAUUCCAGGUGAAUCAAAGACAUUGGAGUAUGAAUCUAACUUAACCUUGGAGCAGUCUGGUGUUGCCAAUUCCAUGAUCUCUGCUACAUGGGAAUGAAAAAUCAUUUCUAUAAAACUUUCUAUUAUGCUGUUUCUUAAUGUUUAUCAGAUUAGUUAUCUUGUCAGCGAGUUAAAGAAAAAACACACAUUAUGAUAUUUGAUUUGCAAUGAAUGAGAAAUUCAUAUAUUAUGGAUAUUAUAGACUUUUUAAUGUUAUAACAUGUGAUGAUGAUGUGCAUAAUAGUUGAGUUCGACAUUAUGAAACUCAUUACCCAAUAAACUUCUACUUCCAACUGAUUAAAGUGGACUAAUUGAUGGUUUUUAGACUAAAUACAAGCAAGCAAUUCCAGGCGAAGGCAUUGGAGUAUGAAUCUAACUUAACCUUGGAGCAAUCUGGUUUUGCCAAUUCCAUGAUCUGUGAACUAUGAUGCUGUUUCUUAAGUUUAUAGAUUACUUAUUUUAAACUCGAGUUAGAAAAAGAAAAACAUUAUGAUAUAGUUUGCAAUGAAAUGGAGGAUAAUCUAUUAUAGAUACUAUAUGCAUUUUAAUUUUAUUUCAUAUGCAUAAAUUAUGUAGUUGAAUUUCGACAUUAUUAAACUCAUUACUCAAUAAGCUUCUACCUCCGAGUGAUUCACAUAAUUGGAUUAAUUAAUGGUUUCUAGACAAAACGGUCACUCGACAAAAAAUGAGGAGCUAAUAAUACAUUUAUUGAUUUCUUAAAUCUCUACUAAUUAAUUAAAUAAAAGUUAAUGAUUUUAAGACAAACUGUCACAAUGCUUAUAUUUAGACAAUAACCAACAAAGAAGCUAAGUUGUAAAGCUGAUUCAGUUAGAACGCUACGCGCACAAGUGGAGCGUGAAUUACACGAUUCACACGGUUGAAGUAAGGAGCGCGCGUGUGCCCGUUUCACGUUUUGCAACACGGAGCGUAGGAGACUAGGAGUAGACCCAACAAAUCCAAAACCACAUUGCUGACAAGUGGCAAUCAUAAGUAAAUAACUUUGAAACCAAAUUUAGAAAAAAAUACUACUAUUACAUAUUCUUGUACAAAUGUAACAGCAGUAAGAAAAUCAUUUUAUUGUAUUAAUUAAAAUAUGAGCUGUAAUUAACCUUUUUUAUUAUUAAGAAAAAUAAAUUGGCUUUUGGUCAAAACAUAAUCAUAAUAUGUACCAUACAUUUGAGAGCACGUGUACGAGUAAGACCUUAAUUUAUUUAUGUAAUUUGGAUUUAUAUUACAUUUAAAAAAUAUAUUUUAAAGUUACUUUUUUGAAACAGCUAUAUUUCAAUAUUAAUAGUUUUUCACUAAUUAUAGGAAAAAAAAAGAGAGAGUCAAAACUGUUAGUAAUUGAGUUAAAAACACCUCGUAACUGGAAGACACAUGUUCAACUAAGUUUAACUGUUUUGACUGCAAUUUUAUAUAUUUCCCUUUUUAUAAAUUUUAAUUAAUUAAAAAAUAUCUUUUUGAAAAAAAAGUCUAGUGUUUAGUAUUAUAUAUAGGAAAAAAACUUUUCUAAAUGGUAACGCCAAAAUAUACUUUUUGUGUUUACAAGUGUCAAAAUAUACUAAUUAAGACUUUUUGUAUUAUUCUAACAGUCAUAUUUUGAAAAUAAUCACAUUAAUGAAAUAAUAAUAUUAAUAACUUUUCUUUAAAAAAAAUGCAUACCAAAUUUAAACCGGUAUUUUUAAAAACAAAAAAAUUAAGGGUAAAAAUGAUACUCAUAAGAAAUGAAAUUAAAUAAUUUAAUUUAAUUAGUAACAUUUUAGUAUUCCCUCAUGGUUAAUUAAGUAGGUAAACUAUAUAUCAUUAGAGGUAAAAAAAACAAAUUUUAAAAAUGAAGAAGUAGAAGUGAAAGCUUGGCUAUGGUAUAUGGACAAUGGUGGGUUGAAAGACAAGAAUCAUGAGUUAAAUGAAGAGAGAGAGAGAGAGAGAGAGAGAGAGAGAGAGAGAGAGAGAGAGAGAGAGAGAGAGCGAGAGAGAGAGAGAGAGAGAGAGAGAGAGAGAGNNNNNNNNNNNNNNNNNNNNNNNNNNNNNNNNNNNNNNNNNNNNNNNNNNNNNNNNNNNNNNNNNNNNNNNNNNNNNNNNNNNNNNNNNNNNNNNNNNNNUACUUUUUAAUUAUAUUUUUCUCUAUGGAUCUUUGUAUCAGCUUUAGCAAAUCCAGAAACAGCUGAGAAGAAAGAUGUCUUCAUCCUACAACAACUCAAUUGCCUCAUCCUCCACUCAGUCCUUCCUCCUCUCAGGUGCUGCUGCUGCUGCUUCGGGUGUCGGAGCUACCAACUUCAACCGUGAUCAAGAGCCCCCGAUGACGAUGCUUCAACCACCACCCAACUCCACCGUUGCUCCACCACCCAAGAAGCGAAGGAACCAACCUGGAAACCCAAGCAAGUGCCUCUUACUUUAUUAAAAGAACCAUUUCAUCACAACCCUAAUCUAAUUCAUGUCUUUUGAUUUAUCAUUAUUUGAUGGUUUUCUCUUGUGGUGGAUGAUCUUCGUUUAUUUUUUACAAGGGGAUAAGUGUUAUUUGAUGUGGUUGUGUCUUAAACCGAUGGUUUUAAUUGGUUCAACCUGAUUAAUUAAUUUUUGUGUGUGUGUGUGUGUUUUUUUUUUAAUUUGGAACAGAUCCAGAUGCUGAAGUGAUAGCGUUAUCUCCAAAGACGAUAAUGGCGACCAACAGGUUCAUCUGUGAGGUGUGCAACAAAGGGUUUCAAAGGGAACAGAACCUGCAGCUUCAUAGGAGGGGACACAACCUCCCAUGGAAGCUGAAACAGAAGUCAAACAAAGAAGUGAGGAGGAAGGUGUACCUUUGUCCGGAGCCCUCGUGCGUCCACCAUGACCCCGCACGUGCUCUCGGAGACCUCACCGGAAUCAAGAAGCAUUACUACCGGAAGCACGGCGAGAAGAAGUGGAAAUGCGACAAGUGCUCUAAGCGCUACGCUGUUCAAUCCGAUUGGAAAGCUCACUCUAAGACUUGUGGUACCAAAGAGUAUCGAUGUGACUGUGGUACCAUCUUCUCUAGGUAAACUAUCUUUCUCGAUUCCAUAUAUCAUCCCGAUGAAUUUUUGUCUUUUAUUUAUUUUUUUACAUUUUUUAAUUAAAUCGAUUAUUAAAAUAUAUGUGUUUAGCUAAUCCAAUAUAGAUCGUACUCAAGUGGUUUUCAUUUCUUGGGGUCAAAACUUAACUCGGUUUUUGUUUUCUUACUGUGAAUUUAUCAUGUCGGCUCUAGAUUUUUAAGGUUAGUACUCUACGCUUCUGCUUGAUAGAGAUUCAAGUUAGAAAAGAAAAAACAUGUCGGUCAGUGAAUAGUAAACGUUUAACUAAUGAAUGUGCAAGCUAUAGUGUGGUACCGUCUCUGUGUGUGUGUAUAUAUAUAGACCUGUGAGUGAAAUCUAUGCAUAUAGAUAGAUAAAUAUCAUCAUCAUCUAUAUUGGCCACGGAACAUCAUAUAUUUCCUACAUAGGGACAUGAACAUAUAUAUAUAUUUACACAUAGGAUCUAUCAAUCUCUUUGUUUGGUUGCUGAUGAGUAGUGAAAGAGAGAAGGACAGUGAAGGAGAAAGGAGAAAAAUAAAAGAUGCUAAAUUUGGUCACAUGUGAGUUGGAUUUGUUUCCAUGCAUUCCCAUUUUUGUUUUCUUCUUCUUCACCUUUGCAGGUUCCUCUUUCCAUGUAACUCCUCUUCUCGUGGACCCCCAUGCAUCCCCUUUCUCUCUCUCUCUCUUCAUAUUAUAUAUAUAUAUAUGUAUAUAUAUGAUUUUGAUUUUUAUUUAUGUGUAAGAGUGGUUGGUUUCGAUUGUUUUGUUAAUGAAUAUUGUGGUCGUCCUCGUGACAUAGUAGUAGGAGUAGUUGAUGAACACUUUUUACAUUUCUAGGGUUUUUAUAUUUUCUUUUUAGCUUUCAUGGUGUUGGUCAAACAUUUUUCUAAUUGCUUAUUGGGUUGUGAUUGCAGGAGAGACAGCUACAUCACCCACAGGGCCUUCUGCGAUGCUUUGAUUCAGGAGUCAGCAAGGAACCCUACCGUGAGCUUCACGGCUAUGGCAGCUGCUGGUGGUGGCGCCGGCAGACAUGGCUUUUUCGGCGGCGCUGCUUCUGCUCUCUCUCACAACCAUUUCGGUGGUACUUCAGCUUCUGGGUUUACCUCUCUAGCUGCAAGUUACAAUCUGAACCGUUCAUCGUCCGACAAGUUUGAAGAGUACGCUCCUCAGUCGGCUAACCCUAAUCCCGGUGGUCCUCCCAACUUCCUCAUGCAAUGCGCUGCGAACCAAGGACUGUUAGCGCAGAACGACCAGGGUCUCAUGAACCAGCAUGGUCUGAUGAACCUCGGUGAUCAUAACCUCAACAGCAACAACAACAACUUGUUCAACUUGGGAUACUUUCAAGACACUAAGAACCCUAACCAGACAAGUGUUCCUUCUCUUUUCACCGGUGGUGGUGCUGAUAACAACGAUUCUUCUGCUUUGCUAAGAGGGUUACCUCCUUCAUCUCCUUCAAGUGUCGUCGUCAAUGACUAUGGAGAUACUGGGAAUGGAAACCUUCAAGGUCUGAUCAUGAACACUCUAGCUGACUCGUCUGACCAUCAAAGCCGGUCCGGUAGCAUUUUUGACCUUCACUUCGGGAGCAAUCUUAGCAUGGGAGGCUCCGAUAGGUUGACUUUGGACUUUCUUGGCGUUAAUGGAGGUGGAAUGGUGAGCACCGUCAAUGGUCGUGGUGGUCGUAAUGGAGCUCCCCUGGACACUGAGAUGAAGUUUUCACACCCAAAUCAUCCAUUUGGGAAAGCUUGAAGAUGAUCGUAUAUGUUUGUAUAUACAGAUCAUCCAAAUCAUGAUCUUUCUGGGUUCUUUGGAGAUUCUAUUUUAAAGCUUUAAUUUCUUUCGUUUGCUAUUUUUGACUAUAUUAUUAAGGGUAAGGGGUUAGCUUUGGGGUUUUUUUCUUAUUUUGUAAUAUACUUUCCUUUAUAAGUUCUCUUUUAUAAUAUCAUGGGUGGGAGGCUCGAACAUGAGUUUUUCCUUAUAAUGAAAUAUAUAAUCUUCAACCAAUUGAGUCUGUUCAACCUUUUUUUUUUUUUAACUUCAUGCAAAAUAUUUUUUUCACAAUAUAAUCAAUCUUUUAAAUAAGAUAUUAAUAUUAAUUAAUCAAUGUCAUCUAUAAAUAUUAGAGUUUUUUAUUAUCUAAUUUAAAAGUAUCCUGAGAAUCGAACCUCCGAUCGUUGUUAGUAGAAACAACGCGUUUCUACCAACUCUUCUAUCUUAUCCGUUUGUUCUAUUAGUUCUUCAAUAUGAUAUAUAUUGUAGGUUUCGAGCCCAAAUUUUAUUUAUAUGGGCUUAGGGCCGAUAAUCUUAUUCAAUAUAUUUUGGAUUAGAUAUAAAAACUGGAUUGAGAAAUAGAUGUACAAUAGAUAUUGAACAACGCGUCUCUACCAACUCUUCUAUCUUAUCCGUUAGAUAUGUAUUUUAGGCCCCGAACCCAAACUUUAUUUGUUUGGGCUCAAAGCCGAUGACCUUAUUCAAUAUAGUUUAGAUUAAGUGUUGAUUAUAAUAGAUUUACAAAAUAUAUUGAGCAAUACCAAAUUACAAUAUACAUCUGCAUCGAUCAAGUGAAUUAGAAUUUAAAUUCAAAUUUAGCUAUAUAUAAUAUGCAAAGAGAAACCAUUUUAAAAGUCCCACAUGAAGAGAUAUGUAUAUUAUUAAUUCUGGCAUGACAAAUGAAUAAAUUCGAUUCAUGAUAUAGAAAUUAUAUAUCCCACGUUGCACAUGCAAGUUAUGAGAAGAUUUCAAGAGAUAUCUGUCUACAAUAAUACGUCAACGGAUCGGAUAAUAUUCCAACAAAAGCAUAAUACAAACAGAAGCAUCCAACAUUCCCAAAAUUAUUCAAAUUCGUGUCGUAAUCCAAUUUUUAUAAUAUAUAAAAGGACGUGUUAUUAUAUAGAUUUCUGUUGUAAUCUGCUAUGUAGAUUAUUACUAUAUAUACGAUAGAAGAUGUUCGGCCACCUAAUACAAAAUAACCGAGAGUAAGAAAAAAUAUUACAUAUUAAUACAUACUUAAUUAGUAGCUAAUUAUUAAAGUAAGUUGAUAACUUGUUUUUUUUUUUUCUAAAUAUAUAUGAGUUUCUACGUACGGAUUAUGAACCGUCAAACAAUUUUGAACUUAUAAAGCAAAAGGGUGUGUUGACAUUCCGAAGACAACCCUUUUCCUUUUGUCGUCAAGGGUAGUUAUUUAAGUUCAUUCAUUAUAGAACACUCGCUAGUGAUACAAACACCGAAGACAUUAUAAGUUAACUCUGUUUCUUCUGGUCUUUAUUGCUACUUCCCGACGUUGACUCUACCUAUGAAUUUUUCUAUGUUUCGAUCCUACUUUUCCACACACACACACACAUAUAUAUAUAGAUAGAUAGAUAAUUGUAAUAGUGUAUUUAUGACCUUCUUAUAAUAGUAAGGGUUAUUAAAUAUAAAAAACCAAACGAUGAAUUUUAGAUAUUCGAUAUCAUAAUCAUAUCAUUACGAUACGGACCUAAAUUAAUUAGUAAUCAUUAAAGUGAUACUUAGUAGUACUGAAGAGUUUUCUAUUUAUAACUAUAAUAUAACCCUAACGACGCUAAAAGAUAUUUAUUGAUCCCUAUAUUACGUAAACUAUCACAACAUUUCAAUCAUUCAUCAUCAGAUUAUUCAGACUGAUGCAUAAUCAAUCAGAUGAUUUAAUUUAUUUCUACACACAAACGUAAAACAAAAAUCUAUAUACGUACAAAUAACAAAGACACAUUCAAAAUCAUUAUAAGAAAAAAAACAUAAGAGAGAGAAGAAAAGAAAGAAAAGAAAAUAUAAAAGCAUGUGCAUGGUAGACUUGUCGUUGACGUGAAGGAUUUAAAUAUGCCCGUGAAGAGAAAUAUUAUCGAAAAAAAUCGAUGAAAACUGCAAAAUGCUUUCGGAUAUCUUCUUCGCCUUUCUCGUUGGUCCACUUCAUUUAUGGGCAAUCUACAAUUGGGGCCUAUACGUAAUCUGCAUACGCAUACGAUAUACACGUAGACUUUAGAAUUAUAGUAUGUACGUGCCUUAUUUCACGUGGAAAAGAUAAAUAUUAGUUUUAAAAUUUUGGAUAUUUUUCGUAUUAGGGUUUUCUUAUCUCGGUUUCCAAAUAGAAAACCUAUAAAUAGUUACCGGUUUUAGCCGCAUUUUAUUCUUUCAAAUAUAACUUCUUUUGGUAAUAUCUAUUUAAAUGGUAACAACAGAUUUGUUUUGGGUGUGAUUGGACCAGAUUAAGUGUCGGGUCAACACUGGUCAUGGGAUUGAUGAUACUCCAACAGAAGCAGAACAAAAUGCGAUGUUCAUAAAUUUUCCAUUUUCUAUUACUAUUUUUAUUUUAUUUUGAGUAAUUAAGUAUUAAAUAAUGUUAUAUAUAUAUUAGGAAAAUUCUCCGUUCCAUUAAAUAAUAGAAUGUUUAGCUAAUUAAUUAUAAGAGUAUAUAUAAAGUAUAAACAGUAAGAAAUUGUUUUAAAAAUAUUUUCCUUACAUAAAUAGUAAUAAUUAUAAACCAAUAGUUCAAAAUAUAUUUAUAUAUAACCAUGUGAAACUUAUAGUAUCUAAUAAAAUUUUGAUAUAUAGGUAACUUCUUGAUAACAAAAGAAUAAUCAUUGCACAACAGUAACAUACUUUUGUUAUGAAUUUCUUUGUUAUAAUAGUUGUUAGUAUUCCACACACACAUAGAAGCAAAGUUCCUAAUGUGUAAAAUUCCAUGAAAGGAAAGCCACAAUUAUAUACGUUUUUGGUACGUGGAGGAGAAGUGAAUGUUAUUUCUAGACCGUUAAAUUAAAAUUUGAUGGGGACAAGACAACCCUCGUGGAUAUGCUACAACAGUUUUACAAAGACAUCGAUACAUAUACCAAUAUGGCAAUUUUGCGUAAUAAGUUAUAUAAAAUGUGAAUAGAUAGAUAGAUAUUAGCAGGGAGAGAGGGCAUCACAGGACAAAGACAAACACUCGUGACAGAUCCAGCUAGCGUACGUAUAUAUGACAAAUGAAAACGAAAUGUUUUAGCGAAUAAGAAAAAGUUAAAACAAAUUCUCACACACACACACACUUUAAAAAGCUGCCUUUUACUCUCUCUCUCAACUCAUUCACUGCCUUAAGCAAUGAUAUGAUGACGACGAUAAUAAUGUGACAGGCCAAAAUUGUAUUUUCUUCAUAUAAAUAUAGUUUGAUAUCCCAAAAAGAUCAUUUAAUGACAUUGGCAUUUUCCUAAUCAAUCGUUUUCCUCCUGAGUUAUAGUAUACCAAUAUAUAUAUAUAUAUAUAUAUAUACCAACGUACACGAAUCGUAAUUUAAUAAUGCGAGGAUAUUAUUAUUGAUUUUACGUGAUCAUGUUUCUAAUUAAGAACUAAUUAAAAAAAAACGAGAGUAAAAAUAUAGUACAUUAAAUGACAAAGAAACAACAAAAAAUAACAUAAAAUAUGAAAGAAUUAGUUGAGAACUCUAAUAUAAUUUUUCUUUAAAUAGCAUUUGUCCAAAAAUAAACAUGUUAUGAAUUAACAGAAACAAAUUUGGGAAAAAAUCUUGUUGACUGGGGAACUACUGUAUAAGCUAAGAACAACUACUGCAUUUUAUUACUUAUAUUUUACGUGAACAAAGACAAGGUAUUGAUCAAUUAACUAACUACAAUGAAUGUUAACUCAAUUUUUAAAGAUAUAAUUAUUGGUAUAACGACGACAAACCUGAGGAUGCAUACACCUUGCGAUAAUCUUCAUCAAAUCGUAGAGAUUGCUCUCAGUCUUGGACUCUCGUUAAUUGUCGCCAUUAAAACCUUCUUACAGCUUUCUGUGAAAUGUGUGAGUGGUAAGUUUAGCAAUUGCAUUGAUGAGCUGAAAAGAGAGAAGACACCUUCGCCGCUGGAGCAUAUGGUCUCUGCCGAAGACCAAGAUCGAGAGUCAUGAUCUUUGUUAAGGAUGAGAACACGUGUCAUGAUACUGUUGUAAGAUUUUUUUGUAAACUAGGGUUUGCUCCUGCAUCAUAAAGACUCCGGAGGCGUUAGCGUCUGCGUUCACAACAGCCUCGACGGAUUCAUAUGAGGAUCCAGAGACGACACAUUUAACGUAUUCGAGGUUCUGUGGGGGGGCCUAUAUAUGUGGCAAUAGGGCAUGUAUAAACGAAUUAAAACAUAUUGUUGCAAUUGUGUUGUUGUUGUCCGUAGGAUAAGUGAUGAGUCGCACUUUCUUGAGCCAAACGCGUCACAGAAAGCUCUCUCUGUCUGUGAUGUCACAAUUCUUAUUAAAUUUAUUCUAUAAAAAAAUGGGAUCUAGCUACUAAUAUAUAUAUAUAUAUAUAUAUAUAUAUAUAUAUUCUUUUGUGAAAACUGAAAACUGGCCUUCACUAUAUAUACACAAGAUGAAAGAAAAGGUGAAGACAAAAGCAUACACAGUAGCAGAGAGACGUACUCAUCAUUUCUCGUAGCUACAAUUAGAUUCCGUUGUCUUGAAAUGACUUUAAAAAGUAUAUUUCUACUUUUAUUUAGAUUUUAUCUGUAUACUUAUUCGUUGACAUGUCUUAUACUGUUAUGCAUGAUACAUUAGACCAAUCUUCAAGUCCCUUUCUCUCUGUGUAUAUAUAUAUGAGGAUUUCAAAAGAGUGCAAAGUUGUACAAGAAAUACAUCUACAUGAAGGCGAGCUCCAGAAAUUGUCUAUGCUUAUGUUAUAUAUAUGUACGUACAUGUACAUAUACCAAGCAUGACACAUGCACAUCCAUAUGUAUUCUUCAAUUUAGACUAGUAUACGCUUUAUAUUUUAAUCAGAUUAACUAGUGCCUAUAUAUAUAUACAUAAAAAAAUUUGGUAGACUAAUCCAAGGUAGGCUGAGAAAGUUUCACAAUAAGACAGAGAACAACUGUACAAGGAAUAUUUUUGAUAUCAAUCAUCUACUUCGAAGAUUCACGGCUUUCAUUAAAUGUAACUCGAAGAUGUAUUGAAUGACUUUUUUUUUGUGCUAGGUCAAUGAAUAUUAAUUGAAUGCAGGUUCAUGUAUAUAUAUAAAUAUAUAUAACACUUUCUUAUCUUAUGAACGCGACGCACGUAGACGCACAAAUAUAUAUUCCAUCCAGGCACCCAAUCAUUAUUUUAAGGAAAACAUUUAAUUACAGUAUAAUCAGAAGAAAAAAAAUUUAUCCUUACCAAUUUUAGCAUGAGUCAACACAUAUUACCAUAAUCCUACCUGAUGCUACAAGGAACAAAUUAAGAUAUAUAAGAUACUUUUUCUGCAAAAACCAGAGUAUUUUUGCCUUUUAAAAUAUCUCUAAUAAUGUUGUCCUAAUGCGGGUAUCAAAAAGCACACAUAAUUAAAUUUGAAGUAUCUGAAAGGAAUGUUAUAAAUUUAUUUAUACUCACAAUUAUAUGUAAAAUAUAAAAUGUAAAAGAGUGAUGAUCCCAAGUGAGUGAGGUCUCGGAAUGCACGUGAGGGGGUCAUGGUGGACGCACGUGGGCUCUGGUCAAAGAUGAAGUUUUCUUUUCACU
This 55965-nucleotide long non-coding RNA is filed under the name Capsella rubella. RNAcentral's name for it is "long non-coding RNA (CRUB_LNC004648)". The record is from RNAcentral. Lineage: Eukaryota; Viridiplantae; Streptophyta; Magnoliopsida; Brassicales; Brassicaceae.